UUGAAGUAUUUAUGGAUCGUUCCCAUUUUUUAAUUAUAAAUAAGCACCUAACAUAUUUAGAAUCUACCCAAUCCAAUUAGAUCGGCUUUAAAUGGUAUAUUAAUUUUUAUUAUAACGAAUGACCGGUAGCAAGAUUUUCCAACUUCAUCGUUAACUUUCUCUUCUAUUAAACUUUUAGUUUAUUCUUGGUCAAGAAUCUAAACUCACUCUUUUACAAAUUCACUCCCUUACAAAUAGAUUUUUCCUUUCUUCUUUUCUCGAUUAUAGAAUGAGUUUUGAAUAAAUUCAUAACACAUCUCAUUCAAUCUCACAAUUAAUUCGAAACUUAAAACAAUCGAAACCACAAAAAAUUUUCUAGCUUAAGAAACUAAUAUUUUUAUCUUGUGAUUACACAUGACUCAAGAGAACAUACAAAAAAAUAUAUAUUUAAAGAUACGAUUAAAACUUAUUAAAAUAAUUUUAAAUAUCAACUGCAUGGGAUUAUUGGAUAAAUAAUUAAAAUAAUAAGAAAUAUAACUUUCUUUUAUUAAUAAUAAAUUAUUUAAUUAAAAUAGAUAAAUUCCAAACCCAACUAAUGAUGGCUAAAUUUAAGUGGUACAUAUUUUCCAAUUCAAUAUCCAAUCAAAUUUAUUAACACCAUAAUUAUUACUUAAUUGACUUAAUACCCAAAAGUAACGUGACCAGAUGAACAACUAUCAACUUCAAUUACACUAACUGGUUCACUAAUAACCUCAAAAUCUUAAAAUUCAACUUCUGAUUAUGCUCCUUCCAUUCUUAAAUUUCUUAACCCCAAAUUGUCCAUCCCUUUCGCAAAACAACCAAUAAACCAGUAGUAUGUAGGGGACUACUGUCGCGGUGAUGGCGCCUUUGGCCGAAGCCCACCCAUCGGUGGUUAGUUCCGGCGUAGCGCGGUAACAAGGGAGAAGGGCCUUUUGGUGGUGGCUAGUGGCUGUUGGUCGCCGAUCUGAUAUUUUCGGGCAGUUUCCGAUGAUGGUUUCGCCAUUGGUGGCAUCGCGGGUGGUGGCCAGAUCUGCCGAUAAGAUUCCGGUGGGUAUCCAAUUUUGGGUUGUUGGUAUUGGGAGGGCUGUUUGGCCAUUGGAUUUUAAGUUUUUCGAUGGAAUUAUGCCUUCGGAACAGUAACAAUGGUGACAAUGGGGUGUUUGGUUGCCGAUUUAACAUUUCUAAUCGGUUUUCGAUUUAUUUCCGGCGGGAUGAGUGCGCCGGAAAACCUCGUUGUUAGUGACCGGUGGAGAUGAUGAUUCCAGCAAAAGCUUCGCCAAAAAAAAUAUUUUUUCUUCAAUUCCGUUCACACUUAUUUUCUACUGUUUAUCUCCCUCAUUGAUAUAUAUAUAUAUAUAUAUAUCCUUUUCUUACUACACUCUUCUCUCUUUUAACAAUCUAAUUCCUCUCUAUUUUUCUGUUAUUUUCCUGCAAAAACGAAAAACAUCAGUUCAAACAUUGCAAUCGAAAACUCCAAGCAAAACUUGAUACCUUUUUCUCUCUUUUUGACUGAUAUUUUCUUUUCUCCCUGAUUUUUUUGACUGACUUUUUCUUUUCUUUUUAUUUAUCUCUGGUUUCUGUCUAGAUAGAAUAUACGUCUCUUUUUUUGAGGGUGAGGGAAUCCUUAAAUAAAAGGAUUAUUUUGGGGAACAAUUUAGAGGAAUGACAAGAUAAAAUGGAUAAGAGGUUGGGUAGUUGUAGGAUUUGAAUUUAAUUUUUUUUAAUUUUAUUUUUUAAUUACUAUUAUAGAAACUGAUAAUAAUAAUAAAAAAAAUAAUAAAUAUAAAAAAAUAAUAAAAAUAAUAUAACUGUUAUGAUAUAUAUCAAUUAUAGUGAAUGUCUAUCAAUAUUUAUUUGAUGUCUAUUAGGAUUUGAUGUUUUGUCUUUUAGCGUGAAACUAGGGUAAAUUCUCUUUAUAAAUAGAAGGAUUUCCUUCAUUGUAUAUUAUCCCUUAAGAGAAUAAAUAACAAUUACUCUCUCUAUUCUCUCUACUCUUCUUCUUUAUUCUUUCUUGUUUUAUAAUAUAUUAUCAACACGAGACUCUACUGUCUCAAAUUUGAAGGUUAAGGCUAAGGUAUUAUUUUUUUUUAUUUCUUCCUUUUUUCAUAUGGCUAACAAUCUUACGAAGUGUGAGUUCGUUGCCCUUCAAAGUUCGGGCAAGAACUAUAUUUCAUGGGUGUUGGAUGCUGAAAUCCACCUAGAUGUUAUGGGUCUUGGAGAUGUUAUAAAGAAUGAAAGUACAACAUCUAGUCAAAAUCGUGCUAAGGCUAUGAUUUUCUUGUGUCAUCAUCUUGGCGAAGUUCUGAAAAUUAAGUACCUUACUACUAAGGAUCCACUCGUAUUGUGGAAUAGCCUAAAAGAAAAGUUUAACCACUUAAAGAUGGUCAUCCUCCCGAAAGCACGAUAUGAGUGGAUGCAUCUAAGAUUUCAAGUACAAUUCUACCAUGUUCAGAAUUUAUUCUCAAUUGAAACUUUGUAGAGAGACGAUUAAUGAUAAUGAUAUGGUGAAAAAGAUGCUCUGUACUUUUCAUGCCUCAAAUGUGCUCUUACAACAACAAUAUCGAGAAAAAGGUUUCAAGAAGUAUACUGAACUGAGUUCUCAUCUACUAGUGGCUGAACAAAAUAAUGAUUUGUUGAUGAAAAAUCACGAGAACCGACCAACUGGAUCUGCACCAUUCCCUGAGGUGAAUGAUGUGCACGCUCACCAUGUUAGGCGUGAAAAAAGUUGCGGCCCUGGUCGUGGACAUGGUCGUGGACGUGGUCGUGAUGACCAAGAAAGAAACCCUGUUCCGGGUGUUAAUAAUUCAUCAAACAAAAGAAGAAAAGAUGAGAAACGUGAAGCAGUUAAUAAUUUUCGAUGUGGUGGAAAAGGACAUUAUUCACGUGAUUGUCGUGCUCUCAAGCACUUGAUUGAUCUUUAUCAAGCAUCACUAAAGAAGAAAAAGAGAAAUCUCAAGGCUAACUUUCUCUCUGAAAAUAAUGUUGACAUCACAUGUUUGGAUGUAGCAGACUUUUUCCAGCACCCUGAAGGAAAGAUUGAUCAUUUGAUUGGUGAUGGUUCCGUAAACAUGAAAGAAUGAAUGAUUUUUAAUUUUGUUUUUUAUUAUUAUUGAUAAGAGUUAGUGAAUAAAGAAUCAUGUAAAAGUAGUUGUUUGCAUGAGUAUUAGUUUUCGAUUAGAAUUGAUUAGUUUAAUUAUAUUAUUAUUAUUUAUUAUUGAAUUUCAAUUUUACCAUUAUUUAUAAAAAAAAAAAAAAAGGAUCACUGACAAUAACGAAUACUACUAAAUUAGAUGAAUGAUGAGUAAUUUCAACAAUAACACAUGCGCCGUUUUCUAUAACAUAAUAAUAACAAUAUAUUGUUCUGCAUGUCCUAACCAUUGCAUGUCUUAUUUUUAUUGUCACUAGAAGAAGACAUAGUACAAAUACACGUGUUUUUCUUUUUCUUUUUAAUUAAUUAUUGAAAAAACAAAUACUAAACUAAGCUAAUCACAUACUAAUUGGAUAUAUUUUUGCUUAGUAAAGUGUGAUUAAUAAUUUCUUAUAGUAUAAGCUUUAAUAUAUAUAUAUAUCUUAUUUGUUGUCUGUCAUUUUAUUUGAAGAUAUGAAUAAUUUUCAAAGUAAGCUGUUCAAUUAUGAAGAUAUUUGUUUGAUUGAUUCUGGCACUACACUUACGAUAUUUAAAGACAAGAAAUAUUUCUAUCAUCUAAAUAUGGGCAAGAUUAAUGUUACUACAAUUUCUGGUAGUGCUAAUUUGAUUGAAGGCUUCAGAAAAGCUAUUAUAAUUUUGUCCAAGGGAACUAAACUCAUCAUAAAUAAUGCUAUGUUUUCUUUUAAGUCUCGGAGAAACUUGAUGAGUUUUAAAGAUAUCCGUGAAAAUGGUUAUUAUAUCAAGACAAUUAAUGAGAUGAAUCUUGAAUAUCUUGAUAUCAAUAAGAAUGUCUCUGGCCAGACAUGUGUUGUUGAAAAGUUCCCUGUUUUAUCUUCUGGCCUGUAUUGGACAAAGAUUUAUGCAAUUGAGACACAUUUUAUAGUAAACCGAAAGUUUACUGAUUCCAAUACUUUCGUACUUUGGCAUGAUCAUCUGGGACAUCCAGGAUCAAUAAUGAUGAGACGAAUAAUAGAAAAUUCAAAUGGGCAUUCAUUAAAGAACUUGAAGGUUCUUUUGAAUGGUGAAUUUUCAUGUAAUACUUGUUGUCAAGGCAAGUUGAUUGUGAGAACAUUGCCAACAAAAGUUGGGAUUGAGUCCCCCGCAUUCUUGGAAUGCAUACAUAGGGAUAUUUGUGGACCAAUUCACCCACUAAGUGGGUCAUUUAGAUACUUCAUAGUCCUAAUAUAUGCUUCUUCUAGAUGGUCUCAUGUGUGCCUUUUGUCAUCUCGCAACUUGGCAUUUGCAAAAUUUUUGGCACAAAUAAUAUAAUUACGGGCACAAUUUUCUGAUAAUCAAAUCAAGUCCAUUCGUCUUGAUAAUGCUAUAUAAUUUUCAUUCCAAGUAUUUAAUGAUUAUUGCUUAUCGAUCGGGAUAAGAGUGAAACAUCCUGUACCCCAUGUUCACACUCAAAAUGGCCUUGCUGAGUCAUUAAUUAAACGUUUGCAGUUGAUAGUAAGACCAUUACUAAUGAAAACUAAGUUGCCCAUUUCUGUUUGGGGUCAUGCAAUUUUGCAUGCUGCAACACUUAUUCGUCUUAGACCAACAAAUUAUCAUAAAUUUUCUCCGUUGCAAUUGGUUUUGGGUCAAGAGCCUAAUAUAUCACAUCUGAGAAUUUUUGGGUGCGGUGUUUACGUACCGAUAGCACCACCAAACCGCACCAAGAUGGGCCCCCAAAGAAGGUUAGGAAUUUAUGUUGGGUUUGAAUCACCCUCCAUUAUUCGCUAUCUUAAAUCAUUAACGGGAGAUAUGUUCACUGCUCGAUUGGCAGAUUGUCGGUUUGAUGAGUUACUUUUCCCAAAAUUAGGGGGAGAAGAAAGUGACAUCAAAAGAGAAAUUUUGUGGAAAAAUCCAUCACUAUCUCAUCUUGAUCCACGUGCUUCUAUUUGUGAGCAAGAAGUACAAAAAAUUGCAAAUCAAAUGUCGGACGCAUUUACAGAUUUGAAAAGAAUCACUAAAUCACAUAUUCCCGCAGAGAAUGUCCCAAUUCGAAUUGAUGUCUCUAAAGGACCAUCCACUAGUGUCAUAACUAAUGAAUCUAAAGCACGCUUGAAGCGUGGCAGACCAUUAGGUUCUAAGGAUCGAAAUCCUAGAAAAAGAAAAACAAAUGGUCAAGAUGACACUACGAAAGAUCCACAUACGGAAGUUCAAGAUUUGAGCAAUGUUGAUAUCCCUGAAGGAAUCAAUGAGCCUGAGACUCAAGAAAAUGAGGAACUAUUCAUAAAUUCAAGUGAUGUUGAAACUAAUUUGAAUCGAUCUGAAAUAAUAGUGGAUCAUGUCUUUACAUAUAAUGUUGCAACGAACAUCAUGCAAGAUAGCGAGGAUCUUGAACCUUGAUCGGUCACAGAAUGUCGACAAAGAAAUGACUGGCCAAAAUGGCAAGAGACAAUUCAAUCUGAAUUGAAUUCGCUCGUCAAACGUGAAGUUUUUGGACCUAUAGCUCAAACACCUAAUGGUGUUAAGCCUGUUGGCUAUAAAUGGGUCUUUGUGAGAAAAAGAAAUGAGAAACAUAAAAUACAAAGGUAUAAGGCACACCUUGUUGCACAAGGAUUUUCACAAAGGCCCGGUGUUGAUUAUGGCGAUACAUAUUCACCAGUUAUGGACGCAAUAACAUUGUGUUAUCUUAUUAGUUUCACUGUCCAUGAGAGACUUGAAAUGCAUUUGAUGGAUGUGGUAACAACCUAUCUAUAUGGAUCACUUGAUAAUGAGAUAUACAUGAAAAUUUUUGAAGGAUUCAAAAUGCCGAAAACAUAUAGUUCAAAGCCUCAAAAAAUGUAUUCCAUUAUAUUGCAACGAUCAUUGUAUGAUUUGAAGCAAUCUGGACGCAUGUCGUUUAACCGCCAUAGUGAAUAUUUAUCUAAAGAAGGUUAUAUGAAUGAUGAAAUUUGCCCAUGUGUUUUCAUAAAGAAAACAACAUCGGAGUUUGUUAUACUUGCUAUCUAUGUAGAUGACAUAAACCUUAUUGGAUCGCCAAUAGAGCUUUAAAAGACAAUUGAUUACCUAAAGAAAGAAUUUGAGAUGAAAGAUCCCGGAAAGAUAAAGUUAUGCCUUGGUUUGCAAAUAGAGCAUUUGACAAACGGUAUCUUUGUCCAUCAAUCUGCCUACACAGAAAAGGUUUUGAAACGAUUCUAUAUGGAUGGAGCACAUCCAUUAAGUACUCUGAUGGUUGUUCAAUCACUUGAUGUGAAUAAGGAUCCAUUUCGACCUCAAGAAAAGAAUGAGGAACUCCUUGGUCCCGAAAUACCAUAUCUUAGUGCAAUUGGUACACUAAUGUAUCUUGCAAAUACUACAAGGCCUAAUAUUUCCUUUUCAGUUAAUUUGGUAGCAAGGUAUAGUUCUGCUCCUACUAGGAGACAUUAGAAUGGGAUCAAACACAUAUUUCGGUAUCUAAAAGGGACUACCGAUAUAGGCUUAUUUUAUUCUAAAGACUAUCGUUCCGAUCUUGUUGGUUAUGUUGAUGCUGGGUACUUAUCUGACCCGCAUAAAGCUCGGUCUCAAACAGGCUAUGUGUUCAUAUGUGGGGGUACUGUCAUAUCUUGGAGAUCAACAAAGCAGUCUAUUGUAGCCACUUUAUCGUAAAGGAUCGUCAACAAGGGCGUUCUAGUGUGUUGUAGAUUCUCAUCCAAGACUUGUAUCAUUUGAUGAUGCCAUGUGAAUUGCUAGAAACAUGUGAAGUGUAUGGCUAACCCAAUAACGAAAGUUUCGUAAGGGGACUGGAGCAGGCUACCACGAGACAAGAUAUAGCUAUUCAUGAAGCAAGCCGAGAGUGUGUGUGGUUGAGGUCCAUAAUACAUCUCAUUCGAGAAAAAUGUGGUUUAAAAUAUGACAAAGUACCCACAACUUUAUAUGAAGAUAAUGCAGCAUGCAUAGCACAACUGAAAGGUGGAUUAAUAAAAGGAGAUAGAACAAAACAUAUUUCACCAAAGCUCUUUUAUACACAUGAGCUCCAAAAGAAUGGUGAUAUUGACGUACAACAGAUUCGUUCAAGUGACAAUGUGGCUGAUUUAUUCACCAAGUCUCUUCCAAUUGCAACUUUCAAGAAAAUGGUGCACAAGAUCGGAAUGCAAAGGUUGAAGGAUGUUCUUAUUAGGGGGAGCUAAUACGCGCUGUGCUCUUUUUCCCUUACGAGGUUUUGUCCCACUGGGUUUUUCUUGUAAGGUUUUUAAUGAGGCAGCUUAUAUGCGUAUUGUUAGACAUUCAAGGGGAAGUGUUAUGAUAUAUAUCAAUUAUAGUGAAUGUCUAUCAAGAUUUAUUUGAUGCCUAUCAGGAUUUGAUGUAUUUAUCUUUUAGUGUGAAACUAGGGGUAAAUUCUCCCUAUAAAUAGAAGAGUUUCCUUCAUUGUAUAUUAUCCCUCAAGAGAAGAAAUAACAAUUACUCUAUUCUAUCUACUCUUCUUCUUUAUUCUUUCUUGUUUUAUAAUAAUAACUAAUUAAUUUUUAUAUUUAAAGAAAUACAAUAAAAGUUUAUAAAUAGUCAAAAUAAAUAUAAUUAAGGUAGUACUAAAAACACUAGCUUAUUUAUUAAAAUUUAAAAGGAAAUUAUAUUUUUGAAUUUUUUUAUUAUUUUUAAAAUAAAAAUAAAAUAUUUUAAAAUUAACUUUAUUUAUUUAUUUAUUUUUAACUAAAAAAUUUAUUAAAAAUAAAAUAAGAGUUAAAAUAAUAUUGGAUCAAAUAUAAAUAUUUAAUAUCAAAAAAUAGGUUAAAAUUCGGGAAGAAUCAAAAAUCACGUGUCUACAAGUAUUGUUGAUGCUUGAGGCACAACUGUGAUAGGCAAAUGAGAAGAAUGGAGGCCUAUAUAGUACUUUUUUCUAAUUAUCGAAAAUGUUACUAAUAAUAACUUAACCUAAAUUCAUCAUUUUGAUCGAAGAUGUGUUACACCAUGCUUCACCUAGAGACUCCCAUGCAACAUGUCGACUCAUUUAAACUAAAACGGGACCAUUCUUAUAUAGAAACAAGGCAAAACUUCACAUGUUUUUACUUAAGAGUUAAGAGAAGAAAAACAAAAGACUUUUUUCCAUUGUCCAAGAAUGAUUUUUAAAAAAUAAGCAUAGUUUUAUUUUAUUACUUAUACCUCUCUUAACUAAUUUUUUAGUCUAAAUUUUAGUAAUUACAUUUUAUAGAUUUUAGUUAGUGAUUAAAUAUAUUUAGGACUCUAAUAUACAAAUAUUAACUAACAUAUUUUAUUACUAUUUUAUUUAUGUUUAGAGAUUAAGGGUCCGUUUGGCCAUGGAUUUUUUUUUCUUUUUUUCGUUGUUGAAAAUUAUGGUGUUUAGCCAUGAAAAUCGGAAAAUAAUUCCGAAAUUUUUUUCUGAAAAGGGAAAACAGGUUUUUGGUGUUUUCCAAUUUUUCAACUCCAAUUCCAACUUUUAUUAUUAUUACAUAUAACCCCAAUCUUUUAAAUUUUUACAUAAAACUCUCCUUAUAACAUUACUUUUUCAAUAUUACGUAUAUAACAGUUUUAAAAAAUAAGAUAAUAAUAAUUUCAAACUUAAUGCUAUCCUAAUUAAUAUAUAUCUCUUUUUCUCUCUCAUCAUUAUUUUUCUCUCUUAUUUUUAAUUUUCUCUCUUAUUUAAGACAUUAUUUUACUGCUAAUGAUCCUAAUUGCUAUAAUAUAAUAAUAAUAAUAAUAAUAAUAAUAAUAAUAAUAAUAAUAAUAAUAAGUUUUCUGCUAUGAUGCAUACGUUUAAGAAAUUAUAGUCGUGUAAUUAAUAAUGGAUAAUCAUUUUCUAUAUUUAUGGAAUUAAUAAAGUUGUAGCAGAUUAGUUUACCACUGCCAUAAAUUAUUCUCAUUUUUAAUUUGAUUAUAUAUAUUAUANNNNNNNNNNNNNNNNNNNNNNNNNNNNNNNNNNNNNNNNNNNNNNNNNNNNNNNNNNNNNNNNNNNNNNNNNNNNNNNNNNNNNNNNNNNNNNNNNNNNNNNNNNNNNNNNNNNNNNNNNNNNNNNNNNNNNNNNNNNNNNNNNNNNNNNNNNNNNNNNNNNNNNNNNNNNNNNNNNNNNNNNNNNNNNNNNNNNNNNNNNNNNNNNNNNNNNNNNNNNNNNNNNNNNNNNNNNNNNNNNNNNNNNNNNNNNNNNNNNNNNNNNNNNNNNNNNNNNNNNNNNNNNNNNNNNNGCAAUAUUUUAUAUUUAUGCUAUAUUAUAUAAUAUACCAUAAAUAUGCAAAGUAUGUUUUACAUAGAAAUAAUUUAUUCACACACAGUAAAAUCUUUCAUGUAUAAGAAAAUUAAAGAAAUAAAUUAGCGACACCCUAAAAUUUAAUAACAACUCAUCAUUUUCUAUUUUUUAGGAAUAAAAAAUAAAGAAAAUAAAUUAGAUAAAUUCCUAAGAAAGAAAAUUUGUUUGAAAGAAAAUAUUUGUUACCUAAAAAAUAGGAAGCAGUGAUUUGUUAAUAUAACAUCCAUAUUUAAAAUUUUCAAAUAUGAGAAAACGGCUAUUAAUGAAAAUAUUAUAUAUGUCAUAAUUGAAAUUCAUUAAAUAUGACCAUGUAUAUGUAAUUAUUUUUACAAAAGUGGCCAAUUAUUUUUUUUUGUUAGUAGGUAAAUUUUAGUUGGGUGAUUUUGACAGUUUGUAAAAGUUAGGGUAUAAAAUCAUAUUUUAAAAAGUUUUUUCAAAAGUUUUAAAAAAAAAUUCAAAAAAAGCAUGGCCAAACACGACUCCAACUCCAAUUUCAACUCCAACUUCAACUUCAAAAAAUUUUAGUUUUCAUGGCCAAACGGCUACUAAAAGGGAAAGAGGUAUGAUUCACUUCCUUUAUUCUCUCCAACAAACUUUUUUAAAAUUUUUUUUCUUCUGUUUCCAUAUCCACUGUUAUAGUUUACCUUUUAAUUUUUAAAAUACAAAAAGAAAAUUCAAGAGUCGAUGUCCGAAUCAGAUUCGGAGUUAAAGGAGAUAAGCGAGUAUGUCAAUUCUAGUGAAGAUUUUGCCAAUCGGAGUGUCAGUGGUGACAGUGAAAAGAGCGAGGGAAGUAGGAGUAAUAGUGAUAAUGGGGAUAAUGAUUCCUUUUCUGUGCCAUAUCUUUCAAGGUGUAUUUCCAUAGAGCGGUAUGACCUUCGAACGAUAAUUGAUGAGGUUGGAUCUUUUCUGGCAAAGAUAUCGGUCAGAUCAAGAAUGGAUGCUUAUCGAGAAUUUAAGCAAGUUCUUGUCGACCAAUAAUUAAAGAAAAGAUUCAAGCAAUCCUGUUUUGGACACCUGAGAAACCUGUCGGAACAUCUCAAGUUCAAUGGGCAGUUAGUUUAUUAUUUGUUGUUGCGACGCAUCAGGAACGAUAAGAUGCUUCAUGAGAUGUGGUUCUGCAUUAACAACAAGCUUGCUUGUUUUGGCUUGAAAGAUUUUUGUUUGAUCACGGGGCUGAACUACUCAGCAUACCCCAGUGAAUAAAAAAUGAAGAAAGUAUUAGCAAAAGGGGACAAUUUUUAUUUUAAGGAGAUGAAAAAUAAAAACAUCACAGCGGCCAACUUGUUACACUUGAUUAGAGGGAAUAAGCUGAACGAGGACCAGAAGUUCAAGUCCUGUUUACUUUGGUUCUUGCAUACCAUGUUGCUUGCGACAGAUUCGACGAAGGUUGUCGACAUAAAAUUGAUUCGAAUAGUCGAUUCGUUGAGUUUCUUCAAGAAGUAUCCAUGGGGGAAAGAGACAUUUCAAUUGACCAUGGACUAUCUAAAGAAGAAAAGUGACCUGAAGAAGUAGAAAGGGGUAUUUUAUGAGAAACAUAAGGCAUCCUAUGCUCUAUUCGGAUUUCCCUGGGCAUUCAUGGUAUCUACCAUAAACCCUUUAGUGAGUUUAUCAUAGAUUCUCAUUUUAUUUAUACUCUGUCAUAGACUUUGAGUUAUUUUUUUCACUGUUGUACUGCUUACAGAUUUGGAUCUAUGAGGCCUUUCCUCAUCUUGGAGAAUUUGCUGGAAAAUCAAUGGAUGAGCCCCUUCCCAUUUCCCGCAUACUCAGAUGGCACACUAUAAAAAGUGACAAGAUAAUCAAAGGCGACCCAUUCAAAUAUAAAGAAAAAGUUAUCGAGGUAUGAACUUAUUUUCUAUUAUGCAAUAAUACUACAGUUGCAUCAAAUGUUAUGUAAUUUUUAAUUGAUAUUUUAUAGAACGUGCACCUGCACAUCAUCCCUACUAUUUGUGAGACGAAAAUGAAUUACAUGAUUACGUUUGAGCCAUAUACGGACAAGGUGAAGAAUAACAUCCUUGAUGGCUUGAAGAAAGAGUUAGAAGGGGUGCUUGUCCUUACCUUAAAUGAGGACAGUAAUGAUGACGGGGAUUUGGAUGGUAACCCCGUUAGAGUACGCGUUGGUGAUGUUGAUUCUCUGAGCACCUCUAAAGAUGCAGUGGGAACCUUAUCCCUCGGGAAUCUUCAUAAGCGUGUCGCUGUGCUCGAGAAGGCGAUGUUGGAUAUUGUUGCCUAUAUCAGAGAGAAAAGAAUGAAGAAAAAGGAAAUGGAUGAGCGACAACAUGAGUGAGGUAACUUUAUUCAAUAAUUAAUGUUGUUAAUAAAUUUUCAGCUUUAAAUAUCAGUAACACUUUGUAAUAUAAUGAUACAGUGCAUGUGGACCUCCGUGAAUCGGAGAGGAAUGAAGAAGGAGAAAAAAAGAGCACAAUGGAUGAGUUGGCCUCUGUUGUGGCAGAAAAGGAAAAUAAAGAACAAAAGUUGAAUGAUGAAGAAGAUAAGAGCCAAGAAGAAGGUGAAAAAGUAGCAGCUGCAGAAGCAGAAGAAGAAGUGGCAACAGAUGAACAAGAAGGCGAGAAAAAAUAAAAAAAUAUUGAAGAAGAAGCUGGCAAAGCUGACAAAUAAGAAGUUGAGAAAGAAGCAACAGGUGAACGAAAAGAAGAUGCUGAGGAAGAAACAACUGCUACAGGUGAAGAAAGAGAAGAAAGUGUGGAAGAAAAGAAAACUAAAGAAGCACCAGCUGCGGCACAUGCUGAAAACAAAGGAGAAGAAGGUGAGAAUAAAGAAGCAGCUGCAACUGUUGAGAAAAAAAGAGUUGAAGCUGACCAAAAAGAUGUGGUCAUGGACAUUGUUGAUGAAAUCAAUAGUAACACUUGUGUUGAUGAGGAACUUAGGAAAAAAGACAUUUGAAUCCUAAACCGUUUAAUGUGUUGUUGAAUCAUGGUGGUUAUGAUAUGACCAUUUUUUUUAUUUCUCAAAUAUGAAGGUUGAAGGAUAUGGUGGUAGGAUAUGACAAUUAUUCUUUUAUUUUAUGAAACUUGUUAUGGUUCUGCAGUGAUUCUGUUUGUGUCAAACUGAUUUAUGGCAUGAAAUUUGAAUAUGCAUGGUGUGGUCAUAGUUGGUACAUUGUAUGCUUGAUAUCAUAGACUGCACACUUAAUAUUUCAUAUAUCGUAUGCAUAGUCUAUCAUUACCUUGGUGGUCGAAUUUAAGUUGACGUGUUGUUUAAUCGACUAAGAUUCUAUCAAAAAUAGUAUUAACAUUAUAGAAAAAUAGAACUAUUAAUAUUUAUUCAACAUCACUACAUCCAUGUUACAGUUUUCCAAAGAACGAAUACUAGCAUUAUAGCACAUAACAUCAUUUUUAUUACAUUCUCCCUUUCUUCGGCCAAAAUUAAUUUUUGUUUUAGUUGAUCCCUCACUAUUUGGGUGUCAUGUAACAAUAUUUUAAAGUGAUCCCACUGUUCUUCGGCUUCUUUGAACAAAGUCAUGAGAAAAUCUUUAUUUUCUUCGCAUUGUUAGAGCCUUUGUAGUAGAUUAAAUUUUGCCAAGCCUUGAAAAUUUGAUGUCUCGAGUCCCGAACUCAAUGUUGAUGGACUGGUCAGAGGUGAUAGCUCAUCAAGCCAUUUAACAAACGAGCAUGCGCCAUUAACCUAGGAAAAAAAUAAUAAUUACAUAACGAUUAACUUAGCUUUUUUAAAAAAAAAAAAUACACACCUCACUUUUGCAAUUGCACAAUUAUAAAAUUUGCAAUCAGGAUUUGAAUCUGUGUGUGACAUCCUCAAGACAGCCGCAUUCCCACAAUGACAAAUUCGAGUAUUUUUGGAAUUUGAUGUUUGAGAUGCUUGCGACAUUGUAGAAUUUUUAAAAACAAAACAAAGUGAACGAAAUAAAAUAAUGAGGGAUGGACACCUUAUAUAUAAAGUAAAAAUGAAGUGUUAACACUGAUGGCUUACAAAAGUAGCCGUUUAUUAUCGUUGAAAAAGUAAUUUUUCUUUUUUUUGAACUGGUGGUGACACUUAAUAGACUGUCGUAGAUCAUGACCUAUGUCCGCCAUCGAUUAGCCUGGUUUACCGUAGACUUAUACCUGUAAUAGUGCAUCGAUUGAUAUUGUUAUUAUGCGUAGACUACGUUGAUCUAUGUACACUUCUAUAGACCAUCAUGUGGAUGUAGUUAAAAAUGAAUAAAUAAAUUAAAAAUAAAUUUAAAUAGAUAAUAACAUAUUUUGGGGCUGGUAGAAGAGAUUAAUUAAAUAUAAUAUAAUUUAAAUGGAUAAUAACAUGUUUUACAGCUGGUGGAAGAAAAUAAUUUAAUUAAAAAAGAUUUAAAUAGAUAAUUUUGGUGUGGUGGUGACACUUAAUAGACCUUCGUAGAUCAUGACCUAUGUCAACCAUCGAUUAGACUGGUCUACCGUAGACUUACACCUUUAGAAGUGCAUCAAAUGAUAUCAUGCUUAUGCGUAGACCACGGUGAUCUAUGUACACUGUUAUAGACCAUCACUAGGAUGUAGUUAAAAAAUGAAUAAAUAAAUUAUAAAUAAAUGUUGUGUGAAUUUCUACACAUGUGAAAGAGUAUAAACAAGUCACAUAAUCAUAUUAGAGCUUAAAUAAAUUUGGAGGGGGGUGAAUUAAGGAGUGUGUGAAUGGGUAGUGGUUGAAUAUUCAAUAUCGUUAGAGUAAUGUUUGUCAAAGCACAAGUAUUUUUUGAGAAUGUGUAUGUUUUGAGGGUAGUGGUUGAAUGCCCUCUCAUGUGUAAGCCUGAUUUUUUUUCAUGACCCAAGCACGUGAAAAUAUUUUUAAUAAUCGAGAAAGUUCAAAACAAAUGCAAUAAGAAAAUUAAUUUAAAAAGAAAUUAAAAGAUAAAUCUUACUUAUGAAAAAAAAAGAGUGGAAAGAGAGAUUGUUCUUUCAUAUAUUUAUGAACAAGAUAAUAUAUUGGUAAGACUAUUGGAUUACAAUAAUAUUUGAAACUAAAUAUAUCAUGAAAUUAUUUUGGUCAAUUAAAUUUAGUCAUUAAAUAUAGCUUAUGUCAUGUGUCAUAAAUCCAAGCAAGAACUUGGACGAAAUUAAAAGAAUAUUCAUCAUCAACUUCAUUUUUAUUACAGAAGAAAAAGGAGAGUUAAUUCCACUUCAUUAAUGGACUUAAGUCCAUUGUUUUGAUCGAAGAGGACCUACAUAAAAUGUGAAGUUAUCUCAUUUUAUACGAUCCUCUUCGAUCAAAUAAUAAAAUCAAAUCUAUCGACUUCGAGCCCCACUGCAUCAUCUCUACUAAUAAAAACAGGUUGGAUAAAUUAGAUAGGAAGUAUUAAGUAAGAGAUCUCUUCGUCCAUUUCUCUUCUUCUCUUUGUCCAUUUCUCUCUCUCUCUCUCUCUUCGUGUUAAUUAUGAAAAUAUCACCCUCCUACAAAAUCGCUAUGAAAAACUCUCAGCAAUCAGCGGAAAUGAAGCGGAAGCGAAUGCAGUGGCAGACGAGAAGGACAACUGACCAUGUGAUUCAUCCCCAUCAUACGUCCAGCCCCAGCCAUGGAAGCCUCCACCACCAAUGUCACAGACAUGGCAACCUCCACCAUCAUCGAUGCAAAUAUGACAGUUUCAACCACCACCAUCGCAAGCAUGGCAAGCUCCGCCACUAUCGUCGCAGGAUCCACCACCACCAUUGCUGGAGGGGUGGAGGCUUGUUUGGCGAGUUGUUGAUGAGAGUUCCUAUACCAAUGGAGGAAACAACAGAUAGGGUACCUUUGAUGCCCAAAGGUAACUUUGUCAUUUUCCUUGAGCUAGGCAUAAAGAAAAAUAAAAUUUGUCAAGGUUAAUUGCUUUAUUUUAUUUUUCAUUAAAGGUGAUAACUUUCUUCUUCUUCUUCUUUUGGGAGAAGUUGAGACUUGAUUUAUUGUUAAAACAACAAUUUUUGUACUUUAUUUUAAUUGAAAAUUUAACCAGACCUACUACUUAAAACUCUCACUCAACUGAAUUUAUCUUGUUUUCACUUGAAAAAUAAAUAAAGAGUACUUCCAUGUCUUCUUAGAGAUAAUUAAAUAUUAAUCAGUUUGAUUCUCAUAGUUGAAUAGAUUAAAUUCAUGAAAUCCUCUCUUAGUUGAAUAGAUUAAAUUUAUAAAAUCCUCAUAUAUUUUUUUUACCUCUUUAAUUUCUCUUCUCUUUAGGAUUAGUCUAUUUGGCAUCACAGUUCUUAAAUGACAUGAUUGCUAUAUUAGUUUCAAAAUAUUUUUGGUUCUGUUUGAGAUUACAAGACACUGAAUUCUAAUCGUACAAUCCAAUUAUUAACUAUUUGUAAUUAUUUUUCUAUUUGAUUGGCUGCAGUUACAGAUCUUGUUCAUUGUUGAUGUGGAAAUGUUAAUGCUACAGCCUACAGGUCUCUUGUCAAAUGUGAAUUCACUUUAUUAUCGCUCCUAGCCAUGGAUAUCGGUUAAAUUGUAAUGAGUUAGAAUAAUUUAGCCAUUUUGUCUUUAUAUAAGUGUGUAUUUUAUCACAACAAUGGAGUUUUUGGGUUUCCGUGUUGUAAUUAAAUUAUGUUACUUGUUGCAUAUUUAGUCGUUUUGACUAUUGGUCUUUGCUAUAGUGUUUUUGACAUGUAUUUAGGAACAGAGGAGUACCAAUUCCUAAACCCAUAACAUUAUUGAGAUCCUUCGUUGUUAUAACUAUGUUACAUACUCCCCCUGCUUGGUUUUACUUUUCAUUAUCUUUUAAUUGUAUUUUUAUUUUUACUUGUCACUUUUGGCAUAUCAUGAAAAGCUAAAAGAAUUAUUUUCUAUUUUACCUUUAGCAUCAAUUACUUAUUCUCCAAAUCAUUUUCAAGACAUAUUAUUCUAAACAUCAAUUAAUAGGGGUAGUAUGAUAAAAUAAAUAUGUCAAUAAUUAUUUUCUUAAUAGAUGUGUCAUGUCAAAAAGUGUAAACUAAAGACAAACGAAGGGAGUACUUCAUUCUUGAAAAUGGAGGAAAAGUAAAACAUCUUCAGUUUGACAUUCAACAAAUAGAAAAGAAAGUAUUAGAUGGUGAUGAUCUAGAAGAACAUCUAGAAAAACCAUUAUAUAAGUAUAAAAAAGUAUAUUCUCUCGCAAAUACUAAUGUAAUACAUUAAUAUCCCCUUAAAACUUGCUAGUAAAGUUCAUUUAGAUAUUUUGUUUCAAUACUAAGAUGCAAGGAAGGGAGAAAAAUAGGUGAUAAGGAGGAAAGAAGAUAUAUUUAAUGCUAAGAUAGCAUACGACAAAACAGUAAUAAAAGUCUUUUAAUUCAUUAAAAUUAACAAAUAAAUAAUAUACCUAUUUUUUGUUUAAAAAAUCAAAUUAAAUGAAAAUGAAUAGUAAUAUUUAAGUUUUAUCACUAGAAAGGGCUACAAAUAAUGUGUUAACCUCGGGAAUGACAAGUUUAUUUUAUUAUAAAAGUGGGUUACAAGAUGUGUUAAUCGCGUGAAGGUAAUUUGUUUAUAUUAUUUAAAAUUUUAAUGUCAUAUGAAGAAAUCAAAGAAAUUUUGGUUUGAAUUUAAUUUUUGAAUUUCGAAAAUUUAAAGGGAAACCAUAAUAGUGCAUAUGGAAAAGAAAGAAAAAAAAUAUAAAAAAAUUAUUGGAGAGAAUAAAGGAAGUGAAUCACACUCCUUUUCUUUUUUAUCUCUAAAGGUAAAUGAAAUAGUAAUAAAAUCUGCUGGUUAAUAUUUGUAUAUUAGAGUCCUAAAUAUAUUUAAUCACUAACUAAAAUCUAUAAAAUGUAAUUAUUAAAACUUAGACUAAGAAAUUAGUUAAGAGGGGUAUAAGUAAUAAAAAAACCUAUGCUUAUUUUUAAAAAACCAUUCUUGGACAAUGAAAAAAGGUUUUCUUUUUUUUUCUUCACUUAACUCUUAAGUAAAAACAUGUGAAGUUUUGCCUUGUUUUUAUUAUGAGAAUGAGCCUAUUUUAGUUUAAAUGAGUCCACAUAUUGCAUAGGAGUCUCUCCAUGAAGCAUGAUGUAACACAUCUUCGAUCAAAAUGCUGGAUUUAAGUUCAGUUAUUAUUAGUAAAAUUUUCUAUAAAUUAGAAUAAAGUAGUAUAUAGGUCUCCAUUCUUCUCAUUUGCCUACCAUUGUUGUACCUCUAAGAAUCAUCAGUACCUUUACUUUCAUUACUCAUUAUUCUUUAUUCUCUCUACAUAUAUAGAUCACAAUUAAACUAGUCUUCUUUCAUUCAUCUAUGUUUGUUCAUAUAAAAAACAUCAUUCGUUAAAACCACCUCAUUCAAAAUGUCAUGGAGAACAACUCUCGCCAAUCGAAGUCGAAUUGUAUUACCCCGUAUUUUCCGAGCUCAUUUUAGCUCUUAGUACACGAGUGUUACUAUAUAAAUUCUUCAAAAUACCUAGAAUUUUUUAGUUUAAGACUUGCCACUGUGUAGGAAAUUCAAUCAGCUUUCCAACGAUAUACAUUUCACUCAAAUCCGAUACCCGGGUGAGAAGUUAUAGCAUUUUUUAGUAAAACAGUGUACCAAAUCGAGAAGCACCGCGUCGCGGUGAGGAGCCAAAUUGCAAUUGUUAAUUUCCAGUGGUGUAACGCGAUUGUACCACUUCACACCAAAGUUUCAGUUCCCAUUUGUCGUUUUCCAGUGAGGCAAUGCGAUUCUACUGCAUCGCGCCGAUAUGCCAUUUUGCAGUUGUUAAUUUCUAGUGUGCCACCGCAACGGUGUCGUGUCACGCCAAGGGUCAAUUUUGCACUCGUCCUUUUUUAAACAAUUUUUCGCCGAAUUCCAGUUGCUCGUCGCGAUGCCACCGCGUUGCAAUGGAGGUCAAAAUCGGGACAUUCAGUGAUGAAAUUUUAUUUCUUUCCAUGGGUAAUUGGGUCUUUUUCCACAACCCUGAUCAGUCCUAAAUAAGUAAUUUAACCCCUAAUAACCUAAUUAUAUCAUUAUUUACUCAAUUCCUCUCAAGAUUAAAUCAUUCUCUCUCAAUUAACAAAACCCUAGCCUUCAAGAAUCAAAAAACAAUUCUCAAGAAAUUCUUCAAGAAGUUUAUUUCUUAGGUAUGUUAGGUGUUCAUCCUGGGGUUCUUUUCACCCAUGAAGUCCAAGAACCCUAUUUAAACAUACAAGUUUACAGAUUUGUGAAUUCAAUACUUGAAAUUGAUUGUACUUAUGUUCAUAAUAUUAUUUGGGUUUCAAUUCAUGAUUUAAUGGUAAGUUUCAUGAAGUAUAAAAUAGCAUGUGUGAUGAAUAUGUGAUCUCCAUGUUAAACCCUUGAAUUUAUAAGUUAGAGAUUGUUGCCAUAAUGAUUAUAUAUGUUCAUUAUUAUUUGAAAUAACUAUGCUCCCCAAGUCUUUGCUAGAAUGCUUAUGUGAAUUGAAUAGUGAAAUCAUGACAUGUAAUUAUGUGGUCCCAUUCAUGUAUAAGUUCAUGUAUCUCAAGUGUUUGAUAAAAUGUCUAAAUGAAUGCAUUGUCAACAAGCAACUAUUAUUGUGCUUUUAAGAUCAUGCCAUGUGUUACUUUCAAUGCUAUCGAGUCCUGGGAGUAUUCAAUACCCAGAAAUUUAGCUGUUUAUCUAGAACUACAGUAGUUACAGGAUAGUCUCAGCAACGUCACAAACAGUAGUACUCAGUCAGUUACAGAACUCAAUAAAACUCAGUCUAGUUCAGUUUGGUUUAAUAAUUAGUGUCAUUCAGUUGGGAGUAGGAUUCAGCACCGAGCGAACUCAAGGAUGGGGGCUCACCUGUCAGUGGAGGCUAUAGUUCUUAGUACCAGUCCUUGCAUUCCAGAACUAUGUAGCCAAUGUAGGUUGAGAUAUUAACUUGGUAGAUAAGGGUUGAUAAGGUGUUUACCUUCCAGUUGAGGGUAAUACCAUUCUCCUCAGGGAACCUGCCAGUAGAGGGUGACCCUUAAUCCUUUGGAACAAUAUUCAGUGGAUUCACAUAGCUAUUGUCUGUACCCGUGGCAUGGUAUUGACACCCUUCCAACUGGGGUUAGAGUUGGACACAGAAUGCCUAAUUCAAAUUGAAAUGUAUAAUGAUCCGGGAAAUAAGAUUUUUCUUUUCUGAAAAGAGAAAAAAUGAAAUAGAUCCACUUUCUAGAUUAUUACGGCACCUUUAAUGAUGAGAGAAGGCGAUACCAAAGAGAAUAACUCAAGGGCACUGGCUACUCCAUCAACUCAAUUUCGUUGCGUGACCCCAAUUCAUUCAGAGAGGGACAUGUCGGUUAGAUGAUUACCUCCCACAGUUUUAGUUUUGGUCUUAGUAUAGAACUCAGUUUAGUUCUACAGAAUCACGACUGUCAGAAACAGUCACUCAGUUAUCAGUAAUUCAGUUAUCUCAUCCCUUGGAACAAUGUCACAAAUAAAAUUUAAAAUGCCACUCGUAAUUUGCGGUGGAGAUGUCAUUUUUUUGUAAAGUCCUAAGCUUUUUAUCCUCGGUGUGAAACCAGAAACGAAUGGUGAGUUCAAUAAUGAAGAUUUCAUGGAUUUAUUUUGAUCAAUUAAAUCUUAAUCAUUAAAUUUAACUUAUGUCAUGUGUUAUUAAUUUAAGUAAGAACUUGAAGAAAAUUAAAAGGACACUUAUCAUCAACUUUAUUUUUAUUAUCCAAGGAAAAGGAGAGUGGAUUCCACAUCAUUAAUGAACUUAAGUCCAUUAUUUUGAUUGAAGAAGACCCACAUGAAAUGUGACGUCAAAUUAUUUCAUACGGUCCUCUUCGAUGAAAUAAUGAACUUAAGUCAACCACUUCUUCCCCACUUCCUUUUUCUUUGGUAAUAAAACCAAGGGUAGAUUGGAAUAGUAAGAGAUCACAAUUAGUACUUUUCUCUUCUACUCUUCAUCCAUUUCUCUCUCUGUAUGUGUUUUAAUUUAAAAAAUAUCACCCCUUUCUACAGAAUCACCAUGUAAAACUCGUAACAACCAGCGCAAAUGCAGCGGACAGUCGGGAAGGACAACUAAGCAUGUGGUUUCAUCUCUCAUCAUACGUACAACCUCAACCAUGACAACCUCCGCCACCAAUGUCAUAGGCAUAGCAGAUUCCACCACCACCAACGCAGACGUGACAGGUUCAUCAACCACCAUCACAACCGUGCCAAGCUUUACCACCACCGUCGCAAGAUCCGACUCCACCGCUGGCGGGGUGGCAGCCUGUUUGGCGGGUUGUUGAGUCCCUAGUUACUAUGCCAAUGGAGGAAACAACGGACAGGGUACCUUUUAUUAUCAUUGGUAACUUUGCGGUUUUCCUUAUUCUAGGGUUACAAAAAAAUUGUCAAGGCUAAUUGCUUUAUUCCAUUUUCCAUUAAAGGUGACAACUUUCUUCUUCUUCUUUUUUUCUCAGAGGUUGAUCAGACUUGAUUUGUUGUUAAAACUAUAAUUUUUGUACUUUAUUUUAAUUGAAAACUUAACGAGACUUUCAUCAUAUGAAGUUUCAAAAUUGGAUACCCUUAAUUCUUGUGUUAAUACUUAAUAGUGCGUUUUGUGUUAAUUGGGCACCCUGUAAUUUAUAUUUUUAAUGCAUCGACCAUUGGUUUGGACAUGCUGCUUAACGUUUUUUGUUUCAAAAUAAGUUUGUUUUAUUUGGUGCAAACUUCUUGCUAUAAUGGAACUUUUUAGUGAGUUCAAUAUUGGAGUUUUUCCGAGACUGAUGUCGUUUGAAAUUUAUAGUUCAAUCAUGGAUGUGUUUCCAACUCCGACCUCUUUCAGGACGAGGAAAUGAGAUUUAUUGGCACUUAUAACUUAAAUAGAAGAAAAAUAACAUUUUCAAAUCUCUUAGGUGUAAAAAUAAACAUCUCUUAUAAAAAGUCAUAAAAAAAAGUGGCUUAUACACUAAUUUUAUACUUUAGCUUGUAUAGUCUCUUAAUUUUGAUUUGAGCUAGUGAAGUCACUAUUUUGAGUGAAGGUAACAAGUACUCUGGUGCACUAAUUCAGAUUUAUAUACAAGUAUCAUAAUUUUUAAAAAAAAUGAUGUAUAGAAGUUCAAUUAGGGAGGUUUUGUUGAUUUGCUUGGUAGUAAAAUAACUUACGAGCAAAACGAGGUAUAUAAAAAAGACAAAUCAACGAAAAGAAAAAAGAACGAAAAAAGUGAUUGUUCACGUGAUUUGAAAUAAACUUUAGCGGUGAAGGAAAGAAAUAGCAGUAGAUAUAAAUUAGCCAAACUAACUUUGUUUUCUUAAAUAAGAUGAAACAAAGUAUAAUUAUUCAAAAAGACAAACUUGCAAACCGAAAUGUUCCCGCGAAGAAAACGAGGAACCUGAAACAAAAUUUUGAAUAUUAUUUAUCAAAUAUAAUUGAAGGCAACAAGUAUUUUUAUUUUAUGAAAUUGCAUUUUCUCUAAACAAAUUAAGGAAAAUGUUGUUCUCCUAUGGGUGUCAAGUGGGCCGGGCCGGGCCAAUUCGGAAUCGACUCGUUAAAAUUAAUUGGGUUGUGGGCCGGGCUGGGUCCAGGUUGGUGUUAAGUGAGCCAGGUUCAACAGUGAAAAAAUUCAAAAACCAUCCUAAUUCGGCCUACUUAACCCAACCUGGUCAAACCCACCUAAAUCCGGUUAAAAAUUAAAAAAAAAAACAAACUUUUUUUCAAUAUAUACCCACCUAUAUACAUUUUAAAUAUGUUAAACAAUAUAUAUACACUAUAUAUCUAGUAUAUACUACAUUAGAGUUUAAAAAAUAUAUACACAUACACACAAUUACACAUAUAUAUGCACCAUUCAAAAUAUACGACUACAUGUACUACUUUAAAUAAAACAUAUACUACAACAUAUAUAUACUACAAUAUAAAUAAGUAUAUGCAUAUUAUAGAGUUAUAUACUAAUUUAUAAAACAUAUACACGUGUAUACAUUAAAUAUACAGUUCUAUAGAAGAUAUAGACACAAAUAUACGCACCAUUCAAUAUAUAUGUACUACUUUAAGUAAAACAUAUACUACAAUAUAUGUAUAUACUACAAUAUAGUUAUAUACUAAUUUAUAAAACAUAUACUCACGUAUACAUAAAAUAUACACGUCUAUAGAAGAUAUAUACACAAAUAUACGCACCAUUUAAUAUAUAUGUACUACUUUAAGUAAAACAUAUACUACAAUAUAUGUAUAUACUACAAUAUAGUUAUAUACUAAUUUAUAAAACAUAUACACUACAACUUCGUAACAUAUACACCGUACGACAUAUAUACGUCUAUAGAAGAUAUAUACACAUAUAUACGUACCAUUCAAUAUAUAUGUACUACUUUAAAUGAAAUAUACUACAAUAUAUAAUUAUAUAUAAAUUUAUAAAAUAGAUACACAUGUAUACGUUAAACAUAUACGUCUAUAGAAGAUAUAUAUACACAUAUAUAAAUUAAUAAUACUUGAUAGUAAAUUAAUAAUAUAUUAAAACUAAGUUAUAGUUAAAUCCAAUUUUCAAAAAAAAAAAAGAAAAACUGAAUCGGGCCGGGCCGGAUCGGUUAACUGGCUGUUCCUAAUCGGGCUUGGUCCGGGCUGGGUUAACCAGGCCCAAAUCAAUAAAAAAAACUGGCCUGGGAACUGGUACCCUAAUGCCCUAGAGCUUAUCGGGACGGGUCAAACCGGGCUGAUUUUUGUAAGUGGGCCGGAUAAGCCCAGUUCGUUUGACACCCUUACCUGUGAAGCUCUGUCAAUUUCAUUAGUUGAGUUAUGUUCAUAAAUAAACUUGUGGACUUGGUAGUGAAGACCUUUUUCUUUUUCCUGUAUGACUGUCUUGGAGUCUGAUUAAUUUGGAUUCACAUCGUAUGUUUGUAGAACACUACUUUUAGCAUAUUGAACAUUCAACCACUAUCCAUCCACACACUCCUUAAUUUAUCCCCCCUAAUUUAUUUAAGCUCCAAUAUGAUUAUGUGACUUGUUUGCACUCCUUCACAUGUGUAGAAAUCCACACCACAUUUAGUUAUAAUUUAUUUAUUCAUUUUUUAACUAUAUCCAAGUGAUGGUCUAUAACAGUAUACAAGAUCAUCGUGGUCUACGCAUAAGCAUGAUAUCAUUCGAUGCACUUCUAAAGGUGUAAGUCUACGGUAUACCAGUCUAAUCGAUGGAUGACAUAGGUCAUGAUCUAUGAAGGUCUAUUAAGUGUCACCACCACUCCAAGAUUAUCUAUUUAAAUCUUUUUUUAUUAAAUUAUUUUCUUCCACCAGCCCCAAAACAUGUUAUUAUCUAUUUAAAUUUAUUUUUAAUUUAAUUAUUUUCUUCCAUAUGUCCUAAAACGUGUUAUUAUCUAUUUAAAUCAUUUUUAAUUUAAUUAUUUACUUCCACCAGCCACAAAAAACAAGUCAUAAUUUGUUUAAAUCUUUUUUAAUUAAAUUAUUUUUUAAUAAUAUGUUAUUAUUUGUUUUAAUUUAACCGAUGACCAUCGAUUCAUAUACUCUACGAUCGAUGGAUAUGUAAAGUCGAGAAAAUACUGUGUAUACAAUCGAUGAUAGAUUAUAUAUUACUUUUUUACUCUUAAGGAAAUUAGUCAAGCUACAGUACUGUAAAUUGAAAAGAUAUACAUAUUUGAUUCGAGUUUUUGUCUGUAAAGAAGAGUAACCGUCAUAUAGAAAAACCAGGGAUCACAACAAAGAAGGUAAAGGUAAUGUUCAAAGAAACUGAAACAUAGUUAUAUUAAAAUUGUUCAUUGCAUUAUAUUAUAAAAUUAACAGCAAAAAGGGCAAAAUAGAAGAAGCUUUCUUGUAGGCUUUCUUCUAACAAGAUCCUUUAGAAGAAAGCCUACAAGAAAGCUUCUUCUAUUUUGCCCUUUUUGCUGUUAAUUUUAUAAUGUAAUGCAAUGAACAAUUUUAAUAUAACUAUGUUUCAGUUUCUUUGAACAUUACCUUUACCUUCUUUGUUGUGAUCCCUGGUUUUUUUAUAUGGCGGUUACUCUUCUUUACAGACAAAAACUCGAAUCAAAUAUGUAUAUCUUUUCAAUUUACAGUACUGUAGCUUGACUAAUUUCUUGAAGAGUAAAAAAGUAAUAUAUAGUCUAUCAUCGAUUGUAUACACAUUAUUUCCUCGAAUUUACAUAUCCAUCGAUCGUAGAGUAUAUGAAUCGAUGGGUCAUCGGUUAAAUUAAAACAAAUAAUAACAGAUUAUUAAAAAAUAAUUUAAUUAAAAAAGAUUUAAACAGAUUAUGAUUUGUUUUUUGUGGCUGGUGGAAGUAAAUAAUUAAAUUAAAAAUAAUUUAAAUAGAUAAUAACACGUUUUAGGACAUAUGAAAGAAAAUAAUUAAAUUAAAAAUAAUUUUAAAUAGAUAAUAACAUGUUUUGGGGUUGGUGAAAGAGAUUAAUUAAAUAUAAUAUGAUUUAAAUGGAUAAUCACAUGUUUUGAGGCUGGUGGAAGAAAAUAAUUUAAUAAAAAAAGAUUUAAAUAGAUAAUCUUGGAGUGGUGAUGACACUUAAUAGACCUUCGUAGAUCAUGACCUAUGUCAGCCAUACAAAUAAUAACAGAUUAUUAAAAAAUAAUUUAAUUAAAAAAGAUUUAAACAGAUUAUGAUUUGUUUUUUGUGGCUGGUGGAAGUAAAUAAUUAAAUUAAAAAUAAUUUAAAUAGAUAAUAACACGUUUUAGGACAUAUGAAAGAAAAUAAUUAAAUUAAAAAUAAUUUUAAAUAGAUAAUAACAUGUUUUGGGGUUGGUGAAAGAGAUUAAUUAAAUAUAAUAUGAUUUAAAUGGAUAAUCACAUGUUUUGAGGCUGGUGGAAGAAAAUAAUUUAAUAAAAAAAGAUUUAAAUAGAUAAUCUUGGAGUGGUGAUGACACUUAAUAGACCUUCGUAGAUCAUGACCUAUGUCAGCCAUCGAUUAGACAGGUGUACCGUAGACUUACACCUUUAGAAGUGCAUCGAAUGAUAUCAUGCUUAUGCGUAGACCACGAUGAUCUUGUAUACUGUUAUAGACCAUCACUUGGAUAUAGUUAAAAAAUGAAUAAAUAAAUUAUAACUAAAUUUGGUGUGGAUUUCUACACAUGUAAAGGAGUGCAAACAAGUCACAUAAUCAUAUUGGAGCUUAAAUAAAUUAGGGGGAUAAAUUAAGGAGUGUGUGGAUGGGUAGUGGUUGAAUGUUCAAUAUGCUAAAAGUAGUGUUCUACAAACAUACGAUGUGAAUCCAAAUUAAUCAGACUCCAACACAGUCAUACAGGAAAAAAAAAAAAGGUCUCCACUCCCAAGUCCACAAGUUUAUAUAUGAACAUAACUCAACUAAUGAAAUUGACAGAGCUUCACAGGUAAGGGUGUCAAACGGACUGGGCUAAUUCGGCCCACUUAAAAAAAUCAGCCCGGUUUGACCCAUCCAGGUAAGCUCUAGGGCAUUAGAGUACCAGUUCCCAGGCCAAUUUUUUGUAGUAUAUUUCAUUUAAAGUAGUACAUAUAUAUUGAAUGGUACGUAUAUAUCUGUAUAUAUCUUCUAUAGACGUAUAUAUGUUGUACGGUGUAUAUGUUACGAAGUUGUAGUGUAUAUGUUUUAUAAAUUAGUAUAUACUAUAUAUAUAGUGUGUAUAAAUAUUGUAGUGAAUAUAUAUUGUAAUAUAUUUUAUUUAAAGUAGUACAUAUAUAUUGAAUGGUACGUAUAUAUNNNNNNNNNNNNNNNNNNNNNNNNNNNNNNNNNNNNNNNNNNNNNNNNNNNNNNNNNNNNNNNNNNNNNNNNNNNNNNNNNNNNNNNNNNNNNNNNNNNNNNNNNNNNNNNNNNNNNNNNNNNNNNNNNNNNNNNNNNNNNNNNNNNNNNNNNNNNNNNNNNNNNNNNNNNNNNNNNNNNNNNNNNNNNNNNNNNNNNNNNNNNNNNNNNNNNNNNNNNNNNNNNNNNNNNNNNNNNNNNNNNNNNNNNNNNNNNNNNNNNNNNNNNNNNNNNNNNNNNNNNNNNNNNNNNNNNNNNNNNNNNNNNNNNNNNNNNNNNNNNNNNNNNNNNNNNNNNNNNNNNNNNNNNNNNNNNNNNNNNNNNNNNNNNNNNNNNNNNNNNNNNNNNNNNNNNNNNNNNNNNNNNNNNNNNNNNNNNNNNNNNNNNNNNNNNNNNNNNNNNNNNNNNNNNNNNNNNNNNNNNNNNNNNNNNNNNNNNNNNNNNNNNNNNNNNNNNNNNNNNNNNNNNNNNNNNNNNNNNNNNNNNNNNNNNNNNNNNNNNNNNNNNNNNNNNNNNNNNNNNNNNNNNNNNNNNNNNNNNNNNNNNNNNNNNNNNNNNNNNNNNNNNNNNNNNNNNNNNNNNNNNNNNNNNNNNNNNNNNNNNNNNNAAUUUAUUAUAUUAAGUAGCAUAUGUUUUGUAUAUUUGUGUAUAUAUCUUCUAUAGAUGUGUAUAUUUAAUGUAUACAUGUGUAUAUGUUUUAUAAAUUAGUAUAUAACUCUAUAUAUAUUGUAGUAUAUACAUAUAUUGUAGUAUAUAUUUUACUUAAAGUAGUACAUAUAUAUUGAAUAGUACGUAUAUUUGUGCAUAUAUCUUCUAUAGACACGUAUAUUUAAUGUAUACAUGUAUAUAUGUUUUAUAAAUUAGUAUAUAACUAUAUAUAUAUUGUAGUAUAUACAUAUAUUGUAGUAUAUAUUUUACUUAAAGUAGUACAUAUAUAUUGAAUGGUGCAUAUAUUUGUAUAUAUAUCUUUUAUAGAAGUGUAUAUUUAAUGUAUACAUGUGUAUAUGCUUUAUAAAUUCGUAUAUAACUAUAUAUAUUGUAGUAUAUAUGUGUAUAUAUCUUCUAUACACGUAUAUAUUUAAUGUAUACAUGUGUAUAUGUUACAUAAAUUAGUAUAUAGCUAUAUAUAUAUUGUAGUAUAUAUAUAUAUAUAUAUAUAUUGUAAUAUAUGUUUUUCUUAAAGUACUACAUAGAUAUUGAAUGAUACGUAUAUUUGUGUAUAUAUCUUCUAUAGACGUGCAUAUUUAAUGUAUACAUGCGUAUAUGUUUAAUAAAUUAGUAUAUAACUAUAUAUGUAUUGUAGUAACUACAUAUAUUGUAGUAUAUGUUUUACUUAAAGUAGUACAUAUAUAUUGAAUGGUGCGUAUAUUUGUGUAUAUAUCUUCUAUAGACGUGCAUAUUUAAUGUAUACAUGCGUAUAUGUUUUAUAAAUUAGUAUAUAACUAUAUAUAUUGUAGUAUAUACAUAGAUUGUAGUAAAUGUUAUUAUGUUUUACUUAAAAUAGUACAUAUAUAUUGAAUGGUGCGUAUAUUUGAGUAUAUAUCUUCUAUAGAUGUGCAUAUUUAAUGUAUACAUGCGUAUAUGUUUUAUAAAUUAGUAUAUAACUAUAUAUAUAUUGUAGUAUAUACAUAUAUUGUAGUAUAUGUUUUACUUAAAGUAGUACAUAUAUAUUAAAUGGUGCGUAUAUUUGUGUAUAUAUCUUCUAUAGACGUGUAUAUUUUAUGUAUACGUGAGUAUAUGUUUUAUAAAUUAGUAUAUAACUAUAUUGUAGUAUAUACAUAUAUUGUAGUAUAUGUUUUACUUAAAGUAGUACAUAUAUAUUGAAUGGUGCGUAUAUUUGUCUCUAUAUCUUCUAUAGAACUGUAUAUUUAAUGUAUACACGUGUAUAUGUUUUAUAAAUUAGUAUAUAACUCUAUAAUAUACAUAUACUUAUUUAUAUUGUAGUAUAUAUAUGUUGUAGUACAUGUUUUAUUUAAAGUAGUACGUAUAGUCAUAUAUUUUGAAUGGUGCAUAUAUAUGUGUAAUUGUGUGUAUGUGUAUAUAUUUUUUAAACUCUAAUGUAGUAUAUACUAGAUAUAUAGUGUAUAUAUAUUGUUUAACAUAUUUAAAAUGUAUAUAGGUGGGUAUAUAUUGAAAAAAAGUUUUUUUUUUUUAAUUUUUAACCGGGUUUAGGUGGGUUUGAUCAGGUUGGGUUAAGUGGGCCGGAUUAGGAUGGUUUUUGAAUUUUUUUACUGUUGAGCCUGGCCCACUUAACACCAACUUGGACCCGGCCCGACCCACAGCCCAAUUAAUUUUAACGGGCCGGUUUUGGAUUGGCCCGGCCCGGCCCACUUGACACCCAUAGGAGAACAACAUUUUCCUUAAUUUGUUUAGAGAAAAUGCAAUUUCAUAAAAUAAAAAUACUUGUUGCCUUCAAUUAUAAUUGAUAAAUAAUAUUCAAAAUUUUGUUUCAGGUUCCUCGUUUUCUUCGCGGGAACAUUUUGGUUUGCAAGUUUGUCUUUUUGAAUAAUUAUACUUUGUUUCAUCUUAUUUAAGCAAACAAAGUUAGUUUGGCUAAUUUAUAUCUACUGCUAUUUCUUUCCUUCACCGCUAAAGUUUAUCUCAAAUCACGUGAACAAUCACUUUUUUCGUUCUUUUUUCUUUUCGUUGAUUUGUUUUUUUUUAAGUUAUUUUGCUACCAAGCAAAUCAACAAAACUUCCCUAAUUGAACUUCUAUACAUCAUUUUUUUUUUUAAAUUAUGAUACUUGUAUAUAAAUCUAGAUUAGUGCACCAGAGUACUUGUAACUUCACUCAAAAUUGUGACUUCACUAGCUCAAAUCAAAAUUAAGAGACUAUACAAGCUAAAGUAUAAAAUUAGUACAUAAGCCAUUUUUUUUUAUGACUUUUUAUAAGAGAUGUUUAUUUUUACACCUAAGAGAUUUGAAAAUGUUAUUUUUCUUCUAUUUAAGUUAUAAGUGCCGAUAAAUCUCAUUUCCUCGUCCUGAAAGAGGUUGAAGUUGGAAACACAUCCAUGAUUGAACUAUAAAUUUCAAACGACAUCAGUCUCGAAGAAACUCCAAUAUUGAACUCACUAAAAAGUUCCAUUAUAGCAAGAAAUUUGCACCAAAUAAAACAAACUUAUUUUGAAACAAAAAACGUUAAGCAGCAUGUCCAAACCAAUGGUCCAAUGCAUUAAAAAUAUAAAUUACAGGGUGCCCAAUUAACACAAAACGCACUAUUAAGUAUUAACACAAGAAUUAAGGGUAUCCAAUUGAGAAACUUCAUAUGAUGGAAGUCUCGUUAAGUUUUCAAUUAAAACAAAGUACAAAAAUUAUAGUUUUAACAACAAAUCAAGUUUGAUCAACCUUGAGAAAAAAGAAGAAGAAGAAGCAAGUUGUCACCUUUAACGGAAAAUGGAAUAAAGCAAUUAGCCUUGACAAUUUUUUUGUAACCCUAGAAUAAGGAAAACCACAAAGUUACCAUUGAUAAUAAAAGGUACCCUAUUUGUUGUUUCCUCCAUUGGCAUUGUAACUAGGGACUCAACAAUCCGCCAAACAGGCUGCCACCCCGCCAGCAGUGGUGUCGGAUCUUGCGACGGUGGUGGUUGAGCUUGGCACGGUUGUGAUGGUGGUUGACGAACCUGUCACAUCUGCGUUGGUGGUGGUGGAAUCUGCUAUGCCUAUGACAUUGGUGGCGAAGGCUGUCAUGGCUGAAGUUGUACAUAUGAUGAGGGAUGAAACCACAUGCUUAGUUGUCCUUCCUGACCGUCCGCUGCAUUCGCGCUAAUUUUUACGAGUUUUACAUGGUGAUUUUAUAGAAAGGGUUGAUAUUUUUUAAAUUAAAACACAUACAGAGAGAGAAAUGGAUGAAGAGUAGAAGAGAAAAGUACUAAUUGUGAUCUCUUACUAUUCCAAUCUACCCUUGGUUUUAUUACCAAAGAAAAAGGAAGUGGGAAAGAAGCGGUUGACUUAAGUUCAUUAUUUCAUCGAAGAGGACCGUAUGAAAUAAGAUGACGUCACGUAUUGUGUGGGUCUUCUUCGAUCAAAAUAAUGGACUUAAGUUCAUUAAUGAUGCGGAAUCCACUUCCCUUUUCCUUCGAUAAUAAAAAUAAAGUUGAUGAUAAGUGUCCUUUUAAUUUUCUUCAAGUUCUUACUUGAAUUAAUAACACAUGACAUAAGUUAAAUUUAAUGAUUAAGAUUUAAUUGAUCAAACUAAAUCCAUGAUAUAUUCGAUUCCACAAAUUAUUGUAAUUCAAUAGUCUUAUCAAUAUAUUAUCUUUUUUCAUAAAUAUAUGAAAUAACAAUCUCUCUUCCCACUUUUUUUUCAUAAGCAAUAUUUAUCUUUUAAUUUCAUUUUAAAUUAAUCUACUUAUUGCAUUUUUCCCUUGGAACUUUCUUUAUGACAUUAGCCAUGGUAUAGAUGAUGAUAGAUCAAUCUUUUAUAACUAGGUGCCUUUUUUUAAAAAAGAAAAAUAUAAGGUUGAAAGUUUUUCUUAUUAUUGAGUUGUCGAUAUAUUUUCCUAAUGGAUAAAUUGAUAGAAAGAUAACAAUAUAUCUAGUUACAACACAUGGAAAUUGAAAAAAACGAGGCCUAGAGCGAGGGAUCUCAAGAACAGAUCCUUUUUGAGUACUGUUGAGAAGGUUAGAUUAAUUCUUCAUGACUUGCUAUUUUUGCUGGGCUAGUUUAAUAUUAGAGAAUAAUAUAGAUAAUGCUAGCUCAAUAUGGAGAUUUUUUUGGUAGUCUAAGUACCGUGGAACAAUAAAAAUAAAAUUCAUAAGAUAGAUUACAUAUUUAUAUAUAUAUCAGUCCAUUUCUUUCCGCUAUUCAAGGACAAUAGGCUUCCAAGGCAUGUGAAAUCUUCAUUAUUGAACUCACCAUUCGUUCCUGGUUUCACGUCAAGGAUAAAAAGCUUAGGACUUUACAGAAAAAUGACAUCUCCACCACAAAUUACGAGUGGCAUUUUCAAUUUUAUUUGUGACAUUGUUCCAAGGGACGAGAUAAAUAGAGAGGCUAUGGUGGGCGAAAUAGCUAGGGGAGGGAGCAGUGGACAAGGUAAUUCUGAUUGUCAAAGUUAACUUCGUCAUUUCAUUACCUUAAAUCUCCUAGAAACUAAUAAUGAAAAGGAUACUGGAACAGAUACCUAGUUGAGAGAUCUCUUUCAGUAUUAGUCAUGAUUUGUGUUCUUGAAACUUGAGCAAUAUUAUUAAAUGUAUACCUUUUGGUAACCCUAAAUAUUGUCAUACUGAUGUCGCAGUAACCUUAAUUAAAUACUGCAGGAGAGCAACAAUGGUAAGAAAGUUGGGACAAAAUGAUUUUGAGCUACAUGUCAAUAUGUCUGAGAGGAUCUAGAAACGUUAGAAUUCACUUACUGUCAAUCUAAACAGUAUCAGGAUGCAACUUGGAAUAUGAUUGAGAAAUUUCUUGGUUCAACUGUUGGACGUACAAUAAUAGCAGCAUCUGAAUACAUGUAAAUAAUUUAUGAUGCAUGGUUUUUAGUGAUUCUUAGAGUUUUUACUCAUGUUCUGCGGGCCUUCUAGGCAUGACGCCACUUUGAUUAUUAAAAAUGCAUGCCUUAAAGACCUUACAUUGGGUGAAGUACUUCAAACCCUGAAUAUAUGAUUAUCAAUCUAAAGCGUUGGAUGGAAACUUGCUCUGAUCGGCAACCCAUUAUAUCAAUCUUCCAGAAACUAAAAAUGAUAAGAAUACAAUUCUUACCUAGAAGGCACACAAUGACACAGAACAUGAGUAAUAACUUUGAGAAUCACUAUCAACCAUGUAGCAUAACUUGUUAACAUGCAUUAAGAUAUUGCUAUUAUUGUCAUGCAAAAAAAUAAUCAGGCUCACACGUGAGAGGGCAUGUUGACACUAUAAUUAAAUAAUAAAAACAACUUAAGCUUUUAGAUAAGAUGGUCACACACUUCAAUAGAUGCAACAUUUCAUGUGGGUCCUCUUCGAUCUACAUAAUGGACUUAAACUCUGUUAAUGAUGUGAAACUCACUCCCCUUUUUCUUCGAUAGUAAAAAUAAAGUUGAUGAUAAGUGUCCUCUUAAUUUUCUCUAAAUUUUUGUUUAGAUUAAUAACAUAUGGCAUAAGUUAAAGAUUUAAUUGCCCAAAAUAAAUUCAUGAUUUUAAUUCCAAAAAUUACUGUAAUCCAAUAUUCUUAUCAAUACAUUAUCUUGUUCAUUAAUACAUGAAAGAACAAUCUCUCUUUUCACUUUUUUUUCAUAAGCAAGAUUUAUCUUUUAGUUUCUUUUUAAAUUAAUCUUCUAAUUGUAUUUAUUUUGGAUCUUUCUAUAUAACAUUAUCUAUUGCACAGAUGAUGAUAGUUCAAUAUUUAAGAAAAUAAUCUUCUUAUACAAUUUUUCACUCGUUAAGAAAAUAACUUAAACCAUUAUCGAAUCGACAACUCAAUAAUAAGAAAAACUUUCAACCUUGCAUUUUUAUCUUUUAAAAAAGACACCUAAUUAUAUAAAUAUUGAACUAUCAUCUUCUGCGCAAUAGCUAAUGUUAUAGAGAAAGUUCCAAAAAAAAAUGCAAUAAAAAGAUUAAUUUAAAAAGAAAUUAAAAGAUAAAUCUUGCUUAUGAAAAAAAUGUGAAAAGAGAGAUUGUUCUUUCAUAUAUUUAUGAACAAGAUAAUAUAUUGAUAAGACUAUUGGAUUACAAUAAUUUUUGGAAUCAAAAUCAUGAAUUUUUAUUUUGGGCAAUUAAAUUUUUAACUUAUGUCAUAUGUUAUGAAUCUAAACAAAAUUUAGAGAAAAUUCAGAAGACACUUAUCAUCAACUUUAUUUUACUAUCUUAGGAAAAGGGGAGUGAGUUUCACAUCAUUAAUAGAGUUAAUUCCAUUAUUUUGAUCGAAGAGGACACACAUGAAAUGUGACAUUUAUUGAAAUGUGUGAUCAUCUUAUCUAAAAGCUUAAGUUGUUUUUAAAAUUGAAUUAUAUUGUCAACAUGCCCUCUCACGUGUGAUCAUGAUAUUUUUUUUUCAUGGCCCAAGCACCUGAAAAUUCUUUUUAAUAAUAGGUUGUAAUACCCCAAAAUUUUUCUAAUCUAAAAUUCGUUCCUAGAACCUCAAAGGUUUGAAUCAAAGAUAAAUACUUUUUAAUUUCAUGUGGUAUUUUUAAGAUUUUAAAUUUUUAUCAUGUAGGAAAUUUAAUAAGCUUUUCAUCGAUAUCAAAUUCGCCCAAAUCCGACACUCGGUGAAGAAGUUAGAGCAUUUUUAGAAAGCAGUGUUCCCGUUAGAUAGGUUAUCGCAUCACGGUGAGUGCCAAAUUGGCAUUCAUCAAUUUCCAAUGGCUCACCGCGUUAAGACCAUGUCUCGGUGAGUAUAGCAAUGAUCCAUCCAUCAUGAUGCGAUGAAAUCCAUUUCAGCAAUUGUCAAUUCCAGUAAGCCACCACGAUUACAUCGCGUCGCGGUGGUAAUAGCGAUGACCAUCUCACCGCAUCGUGGUGAUGCCUUAGACGGUGCUCCAAUUACAAAUUUUAAUUUUUCAAGGGUUUUUAAGUUAUAUUCCCUCAUUCUAAACACGGGAUUAAAGCCCUAAGAAGCCUAUUAUCUUAUUAUUUUCCCUCAUUCUUCUCAAGAACAAGAACAUUCUCUCUCAAAGGAGCAAGAACCCUAGUUCAAGAAAUCAAGGUCAAACCCAAAAGUUUCUUUAAGAACCUUCAAGAAAGAGUCUCAUAAAGUAUGUUAGAUGUUCAUUCAUGGGCCCCUUUCGCCCAUGAAGUCAAAGAAUUCAUUUUUAAAACUUCAAGAGUUGUGAUUCUUGAUUGGGAUGUAUGAAAGUAGAUUGGGUUCAUGUUUUUGACAUUUAUUGAGUUUAAAUAUAUGAUUAUUGGUAGAUUCGAUGAAUUUGAAUAGCAUGUAUGUUGAAUUGAGUAAUCCACAUAUUAAAAUCUAUGAAUUUGCAGGAUUGAGUAGUAUAAUUGACAUGAUUAUGUGUUGUCCAUGUUUUAGAUCCCAAGUCCCCAAGAAUUUCCCCUAGUAUGUGAUGAGUUACAUGAUAUUCAAGAUAAACCCUUCAAUGUGCAAGUUGAUUAUUGUAAUCAUGUCAAUCCUAAGUGUUUAUGACCUCAUGAAUCAAGUAUGCAUCCUAUGUGUUUGAUAAAUUAUCUAUGAAAAGAAAACAAUGCCAUUAUAGCAUGCAAACAUGGGUUCCUCAUUCAUGUACAAGUUAAUGCAUUAUAAGUGUUUGAUGAAAUGCUCCUAUGAGUGAAAUGUGACCAGGUGAGUAUUCAUAUGCUGUUUAAGAUUUUGCUCCGUUUUAUUAAUUUAUGCUAUCGAGUCCUGGGGGUAUUUAUACUCGACAAUUUAGCUGUAUACCUAGAGCCAAGUGUCAGUUUCAAGAUAAUCUCAGUCAAGCCAUGUUCAAUAGAUUUCAGUUAGUUACAGAACUCAAGAAAGCUCAGUAGAUUCAGAAAUUAGUCUCAGUCUAUGUAACACCCUAAAUUUAGUAUCCGAGAUGCUACACAAUUCCUAUGAUCCCGAAGGACCACAAGCUAACCCAUGACUGAUAUCUGUACCUGUACACAGCAUAACAUACUGUAUAUAAAUGUGAAAAUAAAGACUGGUAAGCCAUAAGGUUCAAAACUGCAUAACUGGUAAAAUAUAACAUCUGAGAGGGGUAAUAUAAUACCUAAAACAACUGGAUAAAAUUGAAACAACUAUCUGAACAUGCUGGUCUGAAAGCCUCUAAACUAAGUGUCUGAAUAAGAAGUUGAAGGACAUAUCUCCAACUAACUCCAUCUACUGAAAUAAACUAAGUAAUGAGAAAAUAAGAAUAGUAAUCAUGUCCCCGAAGAAUGAGGACUCACUGCAAACUCUGACUACAAAAAUAGAAAUGCUACUGCUGAUCUGGAGCUCGUGUCUUUGAACCUAUGGCAUAUAAAACACCAUAGCGCGAAUGCAUCAGUACGACUAAAUGUACUGAGUAUGAAAGUGAGGUAGGCUAAAUGCAAGGAUUUAUAUGCAUGAACAUAAACUGACUGACUGUCUAACAUGAACGUUAGAAUACAAGCAUAAACAUGAAACUGUAACUGAAUUUGUGAUAACAUAAUUACUGAUAACAUAAGAUACUGAGGACUGAUAUAAAUGAUAUAAUUAAGCGACUGUGUAUGACAAUCUAAGUUCUGAUGGAACUAGCUGAGUUCCGUGCUGUACUGAGUUAACUGUAUCUGACAGUCCUGAAAUCUGAAGAACUAUAUGAGUUCUUUUACUGAGACUUAUUUUGAGACUGUGAGAAGUAGUCAUCUAACUGACAUGCCCCAAAUAUGCUAUUAUAGCUAAGUUGGGGUCCAAUCUAUAACCCUAAUUGGAAUGGUGUUAAUACCGCGCCACUAGUAAGGAAAAGUUGUGGGUGACCCUCAUCUGAUAGUAUCCCCCAAAAGAGAACGGUGGGACCCUCAUAUGACAGUGUUAAUCCACCUCAUCAACCCUUGAUCUGAUAGCGUUGAUGUCUCAAACUAUGCUAGCUACAUAGUUUUGGAAUGCAAGGAUUGCUUCUAGGAAUCACACCCUCAUCUGAUAGUGUGUAUUCCCAUCCUUGGGUUCACUCGAUGCUAAUCUCUACUCCCAACUAGAUAGAUACUGAACAUGAAUAACUAAACUAGCUGGAUUGAGUUAACUGAGUUCCGUUAACUAACAAUAUAGUACUGACACUACUGAAUUACUAAGUUUUUUUGAGAUUUACUGAGAUUACUGAGUAUACUGAGCCUUUGCUGAGUUACAUUUCUGACUGAGUUAUAAUGAACAUGGCUUGACUGAGGAUAUUGUUAAAACAUAACACUGUCUCUAGGCGCACAACUACAUUUUUCGGGUACAAGUACCCCCGAGACUCGAUAGAAGGAAAUUGACAAGACACGACAUUCUUGAGUAUAAGAUCACCAUCAACAAUCCAUAAUACCAUAAGUCGGGGAUUUCAUGGAGUACAUAGUUAUUAAAAUCUUGUACAUAAAUAGGAUUGGAAGUAACCAUGGCAUAAUUUCAUAAGGCUAAUUCAUGAGCAAUACAACAAUAUUUACAAGGCACAUUAAUAGCAUGGGAUUCAUUUGAACGUAAGAAAAUAGCAUACAUUUGAUAUUUAGGUCACAAUCAAGCUACAUUUCAUGGUCUCUAGUCCUUUAAGCAUUUUAUCAAACACCUUACUUGCACAAACUAGGGAAUAGGUGUGACUAUCAAUUUAACAUAAUAUGAUUCCACAAUUUAACUCCAUUGCAUGUAUUUCAACCCUAUACUAGCAUGGUUUCAUGAUAACACGAUAAAGAUUCAAUCUUGGAAGUCAUACAACCAUAAAAACAUAAAUAUAUCACUUCACAACAUAAAUAUCAUGAUAAAUAAUUUAUAAGCGGGAUUCUUGGAAUUCAUGGAUGAAAGGAAUCCAUGAAUGUACACAUUUCAUACCUUCAUUUAUGAUUUCACAAAGAUUGACGGAGAGAUUCUUGACUUUGAACCUUGAAUUUAGAUGCCCUAUUGAAACCCUAAAUUUAUUCUUGAGCAAUUUUUGAGAGAAACACAAUAUUUCGGCUUCUAAAGGGUCAAAUCCCGUGUUGAAGAGUAUAUAUAGGGUGGAAAAGGAUCAUUUUACCCCUUAUAAAUUCGGGUAUGGAAUGCAGAAAUUUGGCCUGGGGUGAUCCACAAGGCGCCGCCCUGCCUAGUCCGCCGAACUUGCAAGGCGUCGCCCCGCCUAGAGCGGUGCUAUAGCCAGGGUGUCAUGGUCCUAUUUCCUUUAGCUACUGGUUUGGGUACCCAAACAUUCCCUUACACUAUUCCAAAAAUUCUGAAACUCACUCGAGAUCUACUAAGACCUUGCCCCAUCGCAACGCAACUUGAAAAUAAGAAAACAGAGGCCGGGAAGGUCAUUAAAUAAAUCCCUGAAGUUUGGAGGCUUAAAAUGAGACUAAGUGUUGAAUACUUAGCUAAAAUUUUCUAAGUAUUGGAGCUUUUGAAGAGCUUAAAGAGCUGAUUUCUAACACGUAAACUUGCGGGAUCUUAUAAUAUCUCCCCCUUGGGAACAUUUAUCCUCGAAUGAGACUGACUGUAAAGACAUAAACUACUGAAAUAUGAUUCCAUGACUUGCAUGAAUGAUAAACUGAAUAUUACAUACUGAACAUACGUAUCUGAUGCAUGUGUAACUGAUUCAUGAAUGCAUGACUGAAUAUGCAAUGGUACACAGUACCAAGUUUGUAAUGAAAUUAUGAAUCGUGAAACUAAAUAAGCUUAAGGAGAAUCAUUACCUUGAGCUGAAUCUAAGUUAGCGGUGAAGAGGUGAGGAUACUUGGUUUUCAUGUCUGCUUCUGCUUCUUAAGUAGCUCCUUCAAUAGACUGAUUCCUCCAAAGAACUUUGACUAAAGGGACAUCUUUGUUCCUCAGUCUACGAGUCGAUAGUCUAGGAUUUCAACUGGAACCUCUUCAUAAGAGAGGCUGUUCUGAAUAUCUAAGCUUUGAAUAGGGACUACAACUAAUGGGUCACCUAUGCACUUCUUGAGCAAAGAGACAUGAAAGACUGUAUGAACUGAGGCUAGAUCUGAGGGCAACUUGAGCUCAUAAGAUACUGAGAAUUUUGAAGUGACCGACAUAUUGGGGACUGAGAUUUUCCUUCUUGUUGAAUCUCUUUACUUCCUUUAUAGGAAAGAUCUUGAGAUAAACAUGAUUGCUAAUAUCAAACUCGAGAUAUUUUCUACGCAUAUCUGCAUAGGACUUCUGUCAGCUUUGAGCAGCCCGAAGUCUCUCUCUAAUCAACUGCACCUUCUUUAAGGCAUCGAAUACUAAGUCAGGCCCUAUAACUGAGGCCUUACUAACUUUGAACCAACCAACUGGAGAUCUGCAUCUCCUACCAUAGAGAGUUUCUAAUGGAGCCAUCUUAAUACUGAAAUGAUAUCUAUUGUUGUGUGCAAAUUCAAUCAAAGGCAAGUGGUCAUCCCAACUUCCCUUGAAAUCAAUCGCACACGCCUUUAGCAUAUCUUUUAAAGUCUGAAUGGUCCUUUCUACUAGACCAUCUGUCUGAGGAUGAAAGACUGUACUGAGAUGAACUUGGGUACCAAGACCCUUUUGGAAUGCUUUCCAAAAAUAAGAGGUGAACUGAGUACCUCUGUCUAAGAUAAUAGAUAAUAGAACAACGUGCAAUCUGACCUACUCCCUGAUGUAGAGUUUGGUGUAAUCUUUGGCUGAAUAAGAGGUAUGAACGAGAAGGAAAUAAGCUGAUUUGGUUAUCCUAUCUACAAUGACCCACACUGAAUUAUGUUGGUGAUGAGUGCGAGGGAAACCCGUUACGAAGUCCAUUUUCACUUCUUCUCACUUCCAAGUAGGAAUAAUGAACUCCUACAUGGGACCACUAGGAUUCUGAUGCUCUAUCUUAACCUGCUGACAUGUAGAGCACUUAGCCAUAAACUCUACAAUAUCUCUCUUCAUCCCACUACACCAAUAGAUCUCCCGCAAGUCGUUGUACAUCUUAGUGGCCCCUAGAUGAAUAGAAUAGCGAGCAUCAUGCAUUUUUACAAGAAUUUGCUGCCUCAAGUAAUCUACACUAGGAACACAGAGACGACCUUGACAACGCAACACACCAUCUCCCCCUUAGGAGAAAACGUCUACUUUCUGGUCUCUGACUGACUCUUUUAACUUGACAAGGCUGGGAUAUCUAUCUUAUUUUUCUUUCAACUCAAAAACUAAAGAUGAUUCUAAACUAUUCUGAACAUAUACACCACCCUUUGAAGAAUCGACUAAGAGAACACCUAGUCUGGCAAGCUCAUGGACUUCCUGAGUUAACUUCUUCUUACUGUCUUCAACAUGAGUAACACUACGCAUAGACAGUCUAUUGAGAGCGUCGGCCACUACGUUGGCCUUGCGCGGAUGAUAAAGAACACUCAUGUCAUAAUCUUUCAAGAGCUCUAACCACCUUCUCUGAGGAAGAUUGAGAUCUUUCUGAGAAAAGACAUACUAAAGACUUUUAUGAUCUGUGAAGACAUCUACAUGAACUCCGUAUAAGUAUUGCCUCUAAAUCUUUAAGGAAAAGACUACGGCUGCUAACUCAAGAUCAUGAGUAGGAUAAUUCUUCUCAUGGGGCUUUAACUGUAUGGAGGCGUAGGCCAUGACCUUACUAUGCUGCAUAAGGAGACAACCCAAACCUACUCUAGAUGCAUCACAAUAUACUACGAACCCAUCUGAACCAUCCGAUAAUGCUAGUACUAGAGCUGAGGUGAGUCGAGUUUUCAACUCCUGAAAACUCUUCUCGCAUAAAUCUGACCACUGAAAUUUGACUUUCUUCUGAGUCAGUCUGGACAUAAGGGAUGCAAUAUAAGAAAAUCCCUUAACAAACCGUCUGCAAUAGCCAGCCAAACCCAAGAAACUCCUGAUAUCGGAUAGAGAGACAGGGCGAGGCUAGUUUCUUACUGCUUCGAUCUUUUGAGGAUUAACUCUAAUGCCAUUAUCGGAAAUACUAUGACCAAGAAAUUUUACUGACCUUAGCCAAAAUUUGCACUUACUAAAUUUGGCAAACAACUGAUGAUUUCUGAGAGUCUAAAGCACUAUUCUGAGAUAGUCUGUAUAAUCCUGCUCACUAUGGGAAUAGACAAGGAUAUUUUCAAUGAAGACUAUGAUGAAUGUGUCCAAGUACUGCUUGAACACCCGAAGUGACCAAAGGACAUGACUAAGAAUUUGAAGUGACCAUACCGAGUAUGAAAAGCUAUUUUUGGAAUAUCACUUUCUCUGAUUCUAUGCUGAUGAUAGCUUGAUCUAAGGUCUCUCUUAGAGAAAUAGCUGGCACCAUGAAGUUGGUCAAACAAGUCAUCAAUUUUGGGAAGUGGAUACUUGUUCUUGACUGUGACUGUAUUGAGAUGACGGUAAUCUAUGUGCAUUCUGAGAGAAUAGUCUUUAUUUUGCAUGAAUAAAACUGGUGCACCCCAUGGGGACACACUAGGCCUGAUGAAUCCCUUAUCUAAGAGAUCUCUUAACUGAUCUUUCAGUUCUUUUAGCUCUGCAGGUGCCAUUCUAUAUAGCGGAAUAGAUAUGGGCUGAGUAUCUGGAAGUAAAUCAAUGUCGAAGUCUAUUUCCCUUUCGUGAGGAAUCCCUGGAAGAUCUUCGGGAAAGAAAUUUUAAUAUUCAUAAAUAACUCGGACUGAUUCAAUAUUAGGAGUUUCAGAACUAGUGUCUUUAACAUGAACGAAAUGAUAGACACAUCCCUUAGAUAUUAUUUUUCUAUCCCGUAGGUAGGAAACAAGCUAACCUCUGAAAGCUGAAGUACUACCUCUCUACUCUAGGAUAGGUUCAUUCAGGAACUAAAAAUGGACUAUUCUAUUUCUACAGUCGACUAUAGCAUAGCAGGAAUGAAGCCAAUCCAUGCCGAGAAUGACAUCAAAAGCACUCAUCUCUAAUUCAACUAAAUUUGUUGAAGUAACUUUCUGAAAUAUCAUAACCGAGCAUUUCCUAUAUACUCGCCGGGCUAUCAUGGUUUUACCCACUGGGUAGAUACUGAGAAGGGAUCUGCUAGAAUUUUGGGACUGACUCCGAAAUCAAUUGCUAUAUAAGGAGUAACAAAAGACAAAGAGGCUCCUGGAUCUAGAAAAGCAUAAAUAUGAACAUGAAAGAUCUGUAACAUACCAGUAACCACAUCAGGAGAAUUUUCUUGAUCCUGCCAGGACUGGAGAGCAUAAAAAUAAUUUGGGCAUUUCCUACUAGUAGCACUGGAGGUGGCACCCUACCGAUUCAGACGAUCGGAUUGAGAUAAAGAGUGAAGAUAACUCUGAUAACCUGACUGGGGGCAAUCUCUGUCAUGGUGGCCUGGCUUUCCACAUCCGAAACAGACAUUGCUAUCAGCUCUACAAACACCCGUGUGGUUCUUACCAUAAGUUUGACAAAGGGGAUUAGUUCGGGCACUACUAACACUACCCUGAGACUUAGAUCCUGGCGCUCUAUCUCUGUUGACGUCUCUGAAUUUUGGCACUGGAGCACUAGAUGAAGAAGGAGCUGAAACUGAUGACUUAGGAUGAAACUAAGAACAAUUUCCUAUCUUUGACUUAGUCUGAUUGAAAUUGAAGUUACCUGUCCUAGUUCUCUUAUUCUGGUUCUCCUUCUGCUUAAUCUUCUACUCUUGUAUUUCAGAGCAUGGGUCAUGAGUAUAGCUAUGUUCAUGCCAUUAUUUAACAUCGCAGUUCUGCAGUCAUUGACCACGCUAUCAUUUACCUUAAAAACAAAAUUACUCAUUUUGGACCGGCUAUCUGCCACUACAUGAGGAGCAUAUCCGGUUAAUUAAGUAAACUUAAGAGAAUACUCUUUCACGGUCAUGUUGCCCUACCUGAGGUUGAUAAAUUCUAACACUUUAUCUUCCCUCAACUUUAGGGGAAAGAAUCUAUCAAGAAAAGCAGAGGCAAACUCCUCCCACUCUACAGACCCUGCAUCAACUGCCCUCUCUGACUUCUACUGCUUGUACCAAGUAUGAGCCACAUCCUGCAACUGAUAUGCAGUUAACUCAGCACUCUCAAAAGUAGUCACCCCCAUGAUGUCUGUAACCUUCUGCACCUGAUCAAGAAAUUUCGAGGGUCUUCGUCUGACUUAGACCCGAAAAAGAAUGGAGGAUUCAUUCGGGUGAAGACUCGAUCCUGGAUGCAGCUGAAUUGGCCAUUGGAUUGGCCAAAAAAAUAGUUGGUUAUUCAUUUUGAGCAAUUACUGACUGAACAAGAGAAGUGAAUGCAGCGUUGAACUCUGCAUGAGAAACAUAUUCAUUUAAGAGAUCUGCUUGGACAGGCUGAGUUCUUCUCUUGGGAGGCAUGUUUUAUAAAUGAAGAGAAGAAAUGGAUUAGAAUAAGAGAUUAACUUGAGAUUAUUCUCACUAGCACGACAUGAAUACUUAAAGAAAGCAAAUUGUUUCUAUAACUAUCACGACCCGAACUGGGGCCCUGACCGUGAUGGAUAUCCCGAAUUAUGAAGACCUGAGAGCCCUUUUAACUUGUAAUCAUAUAAACCAUUCAUACACAAAUAGGAAAUUUGAAAAAUACAUAAUGAACGGAAUCAUGGUCAUGAAUCUGAACACAAUUUAUAAUAUAGAAAGUGAAGCCCAACAAUAACUAGACAAUGUCUGAACCAGUCUGUAAAAUCUCUACUACAUCUGAAAAUAAUAAUUGUCUAAAAACUGGGACAAGGCCCCAGUAGACCAAAAUCAUAAUAAAUGAUAACUGACUGAAAACUAAUAGGCCUUCUGAAAUAUAGAAGGCUCACCAACUGAACUCUGCACUUCUGCUGAAAGAAAUCUACUGCUUGUCAGGACCGCUAGAUUGAGCCUCAGAACCUGGGAGGUAGGGGGUCAAUACAAUUGUACUAGUACAUGAAGAAAUCCAAAAUAAAUUUUUUAUGUAAAUAAAAUAGUUGAGAUCUAGUCAUAAACAUCAUGAAAGAUAUAAUUUUAAAACACAUGGAUACUUUUGAAAAUAUAAAACAUUUCAGUCAAUGCAAUUUUUGAUCUUUGUAUUACUUCUGAGUUAGGUGGCACUCUCCUACAAGUCUGAUAUUCCACGGGCUAUAUGUAAUCCUCCAUUGACUCGGCGGGGAAGCCCCCAAUCCAAGUUUUUUGCAAGGGUUGGAGUCUUUAAAUCUACUACGCCACAGGGACGUCGCCAGCGUACAAUAAUAAUAUACCCGUAUCGGCAAAACAUGGUUUCGGGCAAUGAGUUGUCUGAACUAUGCCUUCUUCGGAGAACCACCUAACGUCUCUUUGUGCCCAUUUUUAACCAUUUCUAAACAUGCAUCAUUCCUAUUUCAACAUCUGAAAAUCUGAUUUCAAAUAUUUAUUCUAUUCUGUUCUGAAUUACCAUGGCAUUAUCUAAAUUGGUGUCGUCACACCAAGACUUGCAAGUCCUAUUUUUGAGACAUAAUGUAUCAUGCAUGAUUCUUUCAUUAAAACUCAAUUCAUACCACCCAAACAUACAAAUAGUAUAAGAUAUUUCAUAUUCCAAAAGAACAAAUCAAAACUAUGCAAGGAUUCUCAUUCUUUCAAUAACCCUGUGGUGGUCCUGAAAUCUUUGUCAAACCAUGCAACUCUUUUCAUUUUAUAUUUAUAUUCAACAUUUUUCAACAUAAACAAUCCUCUCUUUUGAAUUCAAAACCAUAAUCAAAUCAUAAAAUUUAACCAAGACAUUUCGUAUUAUGCUUUUUAGGAUGCAUUUUGAAUCAAUCCAUAUCAUAUGAAAAGUGGGAAAAAUCAUAAAAAAAAGAUGGAUUCUAUGUGAGUCAUGCUCUCAAUUCAAAUAACACUUUAAACACAUACAUACAUAUAUAUAGGAUUUCAAAUCAAUUUGAGGGAAGUCCUAAAGACCAAAUCAGCACCAUCAAGGCUUCUAAAACAUGCUUAAGAAUCGUAAAUUCAAAACCCUUUCCUUAAAAUCAUGAUUUCUAAACCCUUAGCAUAAUUCAUUAAAGAUUUCUUUACCCAUAAAAUUUUAGGAAAACCCCAUGUACCUUAAUUUAUGACUCUUGAAUGAACUCAUGCUUUAGGGAUGCUAUUCGAACAAUUAAUAGGUACUUCUUGUAACCCUCGCAAUGGUGAUUUUGAAUAUCGAAGAAUUAUUGAAAAUCCAUGGUGAAAUCUUAAGAUAUUUUGAUCUUUGGGUUGAAAUCCUAAGAAGUGUUCUUGGUGAUUUUGAGGGAGAAUGACCUUAUUUUGGUUUUAGAGGGAUUUAAUUCUGUGUUAUGGCGAAUAGGGGGUGGAAAAUAAAACUUUUGCCCUUAAAAACGUGAAAACAGAACCUAAAAAUUGGGUGCGUACGACAGAGCAUGCGUCGCACGUUAAUCGUGCAAUGCUAUUGUCUCAGUCACGAAAAUGGCCAUAGCUUUUCACUCAGAUAUCGGAUUUUGGCAAAAUUUGUAUCAUUGGAAAGCUAAUUCGAAGAGAUUUCAUUUGAAAUAUAGUAGGCCCUCUAAUUAUGUAUAUAUCAAGAGUUAUAUUUGAUUGAAAUUGACCCAAGUUUCGACGCUCACUCAACCUCGAACGAUAGGAAAGCUUUCAACUUGUCCUUGAGUUAGGGGACCUCUAUGAUCUUAAUUCAUGCUCAGAUAGGUUCCCACACUACAUAAUUGAUUAACAUGCCAAAUUAGCAUAGGAUUUAUGGUUUUUGGAUUAUCUACGCAUAGAAAUGACAAUUUUUGUUCUAGCCCAAAAUGCGGGGUGUUACAUUAUCUCCCCCUUGGGAUCAUUUAUCCCCAAAUGAUGGGUAGGAAUAUUGAAGCUUAGAGGUAUGGAAUAAUGCAAACAUGAUGCGUCUUCUUAGAAAGGAUAUAACUGAUUUGAAACAUUUAAACUUAUAUCUUGAAACUGAAUUCUAAGCUGACUAGCCCUUACUCUUUUUAAGGAGCUAAUUCAUGCUGAGUGUUUAGGAUCCCCCCCCAAGUGUUUAUGCUCAAAUCACACACAUUGAAUUUGGAAGUGAUAACUUAUGUAAGUACGAAUCAUGAGCCAACAAGAUUUAGAUCAUACAAAGGUAUUACACUGUUUGAGCUAAAAUAGCUGGAAAAAUUUGAGAUUAUGUGCUGAACUCUUAUGAACUGAGUCAUGACUAAAUAACUGAAUCUGAAAAUGAUGUUUGGACUGAACUGAGUUCGCAACUUACACGGAUGGAAUAUAUUAUCUUUUGGGAUGGUCAUACGUAUUGGACUUCGAAUAGUAGGACUAGGUGAAAAUAUGGAAAACCACAGUAAUUUGUCUGCCUGACUAUUAAACUGAAUUAUACUGGACACUUAUACUAAAUUGGAGUAUCUCUUAAACACUAUUUCUAAGGAAGUCCUAGUAGCAUUAGGGAGAAAGGAAUCUUGGACAUGAGUUGCACAAGACAUCAAACUAAGGAAUCACAACAGUGACAUUACUCUAUAGCAUAGAAUAUAGACAUAUAACUCGUAAACUAGGACAGAAUUACAAGGCCUUAGGCAAUGCAACUUCUUACUUUCAAGCUUAGCACACUUCUCGAAUACUCCCUCAACUAUACACCUUAAAUAUCAUACUUAUUCGAUUCAACUAAUAAUUAUCAUAGGGGCAUGAUAAAUCUUUCUAUAUCUUUUUAAAGUUUACACCUUAAGCAUAACGUGCCUUAUCACUUCAAUGACAAACUUUGAACUCUUACUAUGGAUUCACUAGCGCAUAUUGCGUUCCUCCACUUAAAUCCCAACAUGUCAUUCAAGCCUAUAUUUAUAACCACAUAUGAACUUUAAGGCAAACACCCAUAAAGGCAUACUUCAUAUAUUCUCUAAACCACUAUCAAUACAUUUCCCACGUGCUACCUCAAGAACAUACACACACAAAUUUCAACUAACCAUCACAUACAUCAAAGACUUGACCCCAAUAUUACUUCACACUUAUGGCCUUAUCUAAACAAGCAUAAUAUGAUAUUCCAUCAACAAGAAACAUUCACUCAUCACCACAAUCAUUACAUAAGGAGGAGUCCCAAAAAGGCUAGAACAUAAGGCCUUGAAGCAUGGAAGGAUACUAUACGAAACUUGACACUUAACUGAGGCCCGAGGAAUAGCAAAUCAAUAUCAGGGAUUUAUCAAAGUGAUCUGAAUGGAGGCAUACAUGACUAUAAGAUGAAUCUCACCAAUCAUAAGAAGUAUAAAAUGAGUUAUGGGAUCUGAGCAUAUGAUAAUGCUCAACUUACACCUUAAAUUUGUGUAAGGCGAUCGUCGUCAAUAUAUUUACCCAACUUUGGAGUCGGGGUCGAAUUCACAGGGAAUAAUGUGAGUGGCGAUUAAGAUAAUUUGAAGCUAUAGCUACAAGUUCAGUUCAAACAAAUGGUAUGAAAAUAUAAAAUUAAGAUGGGGUAUUGAAAGUAUCAAGUAAUGUUGUCACUUCAAUAUUAAUGUUUGUAAUCAAUAUAAAUGGAAAACCAGAGCUAUGUUUACCAAGGGUUUCGAGAAUUGAUAGAUACGAGGUAAUGCUACAGAUUCUCGGAUGAUUAGAACAGCAGAAUACCCCUGAUGAUUAUACUAUCUGACUUAUCUCUCGACCUCACCAGACAAUUUGUUAUCUAAUUCUCUCAAACUUAGAUAACUUAUCUAUAUCCAAACGGAUGUUAUCUCAGGUAGAUUAAUCUAGUUACGACAUUAAUCAUUAACCAGAAGGUUGGUAGCUUCUGAGUCCCUGUGAUAAUUCCCGUCCUCUAGUCUAUUUCUUCGUUAGAAGCAAAAUAAAACCUAAGGCAUAAUCUAAUGUUUGCAACCACCAGAUUUCAGUUAAAAUCACAGAAUUUCAAGAUGUUCCACUACUCUUUGAAUCCGUUAAACAUCUAGUAUCGUAUCAAACCCCGAUCCAUGGAUCCCAUAACAUCGGCUAAUGGAAUUAGCCGCUCAUAAUUUGAUGAACAAAAUCAAAAGUUGAAUUCAUAAUGAUAAGGAUAACUUACGAUUAGAUGGAAAACAACAAGUAGUUUCUUUAAUUGAAUCCCAAGGUAGAAACCCAAAAAUAGUGGAUAAAAAUAAGAAGAAUAAUUGAUGUAAGAGAACAAUGUUACGUGCCUCUCUUCCCUAGUUUAAUUGUCUCAUAGAUGAUUUAUUAAAUAAUCAAAAACCCUAAAAGAUGCUAUUUAUACUAAAGCCUAAUUAAGGUAAUAAAAUAACAAAAUCACAGCUGGGCUCGGAUUUAGGUGACGUCAUAUUGGUGUUGAUCGUCAGGCUUCUGACGGCGUCUCAGAUAUGUCGUCAGAAGUCGUGCCUUCUUAACCUUUUCUGGCUUACUCUGACGAUGUCCUCCGAUGGCUUACCAGAGGGGUGACGGUGUGUAGCAAAGUCGUCAUACCUUCAUCUUAUUUCACCAUGUUCUGUCCCACUUGAUGGUAUCUUCUGUCGGCUUACCACACUUGUGACGACAUCUUGAGAAUGUCGUCACCUUCAUCCAGCAACUCUUCUUCACUGUUCUUCCUGACGCCUUUUUCUGGUAGCUUACCACAUCUCUGACGGCUUGCAAGAAAUGCCGUCAGACUCAUAUCAGCUCACUUGUACCAGAUUUUACUCUUUUGCUCCAUUGUUAUUUCUUUCCAUGCAUCUUGACUUUCCUACAAAAUCUUAAGAAAUAACAUAAAAAACACCAAUAAUUACUUAAGAACUUACAAUUAUUUCAAGUUAAAAAGUCUUAAAUAUGCUACAAAAAUCUAGCACAUCAACACCCUCAAUUUAAAAUAUUUGCUUGUCCUCAAGCAACUACAUAACACCAUACUAUGAUGCUUAACCAAGAGACACAUAAGAUACCUAUCACAGUUGAUUAUCAAGUUUAGCUCAAAACUCAUGCCACUCCCCACGUUCAAUUACUUAUAAAUCCAAUUGUGCAUAUCAAUGAAGAUUAACAAUGUGACCCAAAGGAAUCAAGAUAUGGCAUCAAUUCAGCAACAAUAACCAUGCAUAUGUACAAGUUACACUACCCAAACAAGUAAACAGCUAGCAAUGCAACCGAUGUGCCCUUACAACAAAUAAGUCCCUCCUCACUCGUAUAUGAACUCAAGCAUGUCAAUACGGGGACGGUCAAGAGAAACUCACUCUCAGAAAGAAAUUCCAAUCAAUGCAUGUCAAAUACCAUAUGCUUUCCCUUAUUUUCACUACCAAGGUGUCCAGACAGGUAAGUUAGGAUCUCUAUAGGUAUUUUCUUCGGCUUGUAAUAUAGGCUAAGGGCUAGUAUGAUAUUCAAUGAUAUUUAGAGUGACUAAGCCUCCUUGGCACUACCUUAACUUUUGGGGUUCACUUAUUAACCUUUUUUUUCUCCUUUUCUUGAUCACACAUUAUUCAGGAUGGAUGUGACUUUUCUUUUUCAUUCUUUUUCUUUUUAUAUUCUUCUUCCACACCACCCAGCUUUUUAUUCUUUUUCACUUAUUCUUUUCCUUUUAUUCUACCUUUCUUCAUACUCAGUUUACAUCACGCACCCCUAUAAUAGCCACCCUCAAUUUAGGUUGUUUACCUAAAUCUAGGUACACAGUAUCCAAGGAGGACCAGGGCCAAAAUAGGUUCAUUAUAAUCUAAACAGGAGGUGAUAGAUGUCAUAGAAAGAAAUAGUCAAUUCAUGCUCAAAAUAGGGAUCAAGAGAUAUCAUGCAUACAGGGAAGGUCAUUUAGGCAAAAAGUGACUUAAAAAUCAAAACGGUCUAUGAUCCUUUCCUAACCCCUAUCUUUAACCAAGGUAAGACUAACCGGGCAAGUUCUGGAUUUAACACACAAAGGAAACUAAGUAAUAUCUCACACACACAUGGCACAAAGGUGCAUCACAAGCUACUACCUAUCCGGUUCAUGCGGUUGUUUAGCAGUGGAUAUCAUGUCACUAGUACUAAUGCCAUAACAAGAUGCACAGUGGUCACACAUAAAUAUAUAUCAUACAGUUAUAAAACAGACCAAUGGAGAGGUGUUUCUCAGUCUAAAAAAUCAACAAAAAUAUGUCAACUGCUCUAGAUACUUAUUUUUAUCCAGUUAACCACAAAACAUCACAAAACAAACACAGUAAGCCUAAACUUGAAGCUCUACUAGAAACAAGACUCCGAAGAAAAGAGGCACGACAAAAAAACCCCCAGGAGGACAUCAACACCCAUAAGUAGCCCCACCCUCAACUUAAUAUCAUGCAUUGUUCCCAACACGUCAAAUUAAAACAAGAGAGUUAGAACUAUACCUGUGGCACCAUGGGUGCGAAGAUCUGAUGUCAAUCACAUAAUAUGAAUACAAACAACAAAAUACCUUGGGUUGCCUCCCAAGCAGCGCCUGGUUUAACAUCGUGGCUCGCCUCAGUUAUCUUGACUACUCAGACUUCGUCAAGAUAUCUUGUUGAUAAUUAUUUAUAUCUCCAUUAGGAGGAUUUAAAACGCCGGCCCAACUUUUGAUCAAUACAUCUUCAGGGUGUGUUGGGUAAAUAUGAGGGCAUGAUGAGGAAUGUUCUAUCAUGCCACUUCGAAGACUUGAACUGCUUGCCUAAUUUUGCAUCAAAAUUUUGUGUGGGAUUAUUUGGCAACGGUGAGAAUCUUAAAUAGCCACUAAAUGGAGAUCGAUCUUUAAGCUCCUUGGCCUUCAAUAUUGGGGUUGUAGUAUACCCUUUUGGAAGGAUAAACUCCAAAAUGUAAGAAUCUUCCUCCUUAUUUUCAAAAUUUAUUAUUUGCUUGGGUGAUUCAACUUUCAUCACAUCCACUAAGCAUAAUGUUGAAAAGUGAUUCGAAUGAGGACUAUCCCUCAAUUUUGGAAUAACUUCCCUAUUAGUAUUUUUACCUCGAAAUGGACUAGAGUCUUUACGAGGGUUGUGCUUAAUUUAUUCUUUUGACUCUAAUACCAUUUCCUCAUCCUUGGCAUCUUCAUUAAUGAAUGGUUCGGUUGGUUGGGAAAUCACGAAAGGUUGCUUAACAUCAAGCUCAUCAUCAACAUAGGAUUCUUGAUCUUCAUCCUCACAGUCUUCCAUUAUUUUAAAUGAUUCCGCAGACAAGAUAUCAUCUAAACAUAAUGUGAAAGAGUGCUUUGGAUGAUUGACCUCUAUAUCCAUCUCUUCAUGAAUGAUUGGCCUUAUGUCUUGAUGCAUAUCACAUACGAUAUCAUAUGUUUCUCUCUGGAUAUCUAACAUUUCUUGUAACAUAGCUUCCAUGCUACUCUUUUUGGUGCUUUGUUCUUCCUUUUCUUGACCAUAAGACCUGUCAGACUCAUAAGAAGAACUAGAAUUUGGGUUAGCACAAUAGGGGGAUGGGGCAUUAGGGCAAUCACUCCAAUAUCCAUCUUGAUCACCACAUAUAGAACAAUCAUAUUCCUGAUAGGAUGGAGAUGGUGCACACAUCUCUCUCCGAGGAGCAUAUCCACAGUCUUGCCAAAAGUGAGGUAUAUCACAAUAUGGACAUGGAUCAUUAAGAUAAUAUUUCCAACCACCAAGAUCAUGUUCAUUCCACGAUGCCACAGUAAUAAGUAAACAAAAAUAAAAAUCUACCUAACAUAAGAAAUAAAAGAAAACUAAAUUUUUUUUUUACAAGUUUGAAUUCAAGCAAGUAGGCUAAAAUACCAAACUAACUCAAUACGCCAAAUUGUUCCCCGGCAACGGCGCCACUUUUGAUAACGCUCAACUUAUACCUCAAAUUAGUAUAAGGCGGUCGUCAUCAAUAUAUUUACCCAACUUUGGAGUCAGGGUCGAAUCCACAGGGAACAAUAUGAGUAGCGACUAAGCUAAUUUGAAGCUAUAGCUACAAGUUCAAUUCAAACAAAUGGUAUGAAAAUAUAAAAUUAAGAUGGGGUUUUGAAAGUAUCAAGUAAUGUUGUCACUUCAAUGGUAAUGUUUGUAAUCAAUAUAAAUGGGAAACUAGAGCUAUGUUCACCAAGGGUUUCGAGAAUUGACAGAUACUAGGUAAUGCUACAGAUUCUUGGAAUGAUUAGAACAGCAGAAUACCCCUGACGAUUAUACUAUCUGGCUUAUCUCUCGACCUCACCAGACAAUUUAUUAUCUAAUUCUCUCGAACUUAGAUAACUUAUCUAUAUCCAAAUGGAUGUUAUCUCAGGUAGAUUAAUCCAGUUACGGCAUUAAUCAUUAAACAGAAGGUUGGUAGCUUCCGAGUCCCUGUUGAUAAUUUCUGUCCUCUAGUCUAUUUCUCCGUUAGAAGCAAAUAAAACCUAAGGCAUAAUCUAAUGUUUGCAACCACUAGAUUUCAGUUAAAAUCACAGAAUUUCAGGAUGUUCCACUACUCUUUGAAUCUGUUAAACACCUAGUAUCAUAUCAAACCCUAAUUCAUGGAUCCCAUAACCCCAGCUAAUGGAAUAAGCCGCUCAUGAUUUGAUGAAUGAAAUCACAAGUUGAAUUCAUAAUGAUAAGGAUAACUUACGAUUAGAUGGAAAACAACGAGUAGUUUCUUCGAUUGAAUCAUAAGGUAGAAACCUAAAAAUAGUUGAUAAAAAUGAGAAGAAUAAUUGAUGUAACAAAGCAAUGUUACGUGCCUCUCUUCCCUAGUUUAAUUGUCUGAUAGAUGAUUUAUUAAUUAAUUAAAAACCCUAAAGAUGCUAUUUAUACUAAAGCCUAAUUAAGGUAAUAAAAUAACAACAUCAAAGCUAGGCUCGGAUUUAGUUGACUGCAUAUUAGUGUUGAUCGUCAGGCUUCUGACGGCAUCUCAGAUAUGUCGUCAAAAGUCGUGCCUUCUUAACCUGUUCUGCCUUACUCUGACGAUGUCCUCUGAUGACUUACCAGAGGGGUGAGGGCGAGUAAAAAAUGUUGUCAGACCUUCAUCUUAUUUCACCAUGUUCUUUCCCACUUGACGACAUCUUCUGACGGCUUACCACACUUGUGAUGGCAUAUUGAGAAUGUCGUCACCUUCAUCCAGCAACUCUUCUUCACUGUUCUUCCUGACGCCUUUUUCUGGUAGCUUACCACAUCUCUGAUGGCUUGCAAGAAAUGUCGUCAAACUUAUAUAAGCUCACUUGUACCAAAUUUUACUCUUUUUCUCCAUUGUUAUUUAUUUCCAUGCAUCUUGACUUUUCUACAAAAUCUUAUGAAAUAACAUCAAAAACACCAAUAAUUACGUAAGAACUUACAAUUAUUUCAAGUUAAAAAGUCUUAAAUGUGCUACAAAAAUCUAGCGCAUCAACACCCUCAACUUAAAAUAAUUGCUUUUCCUCAAGCAACUACAUAACACCAUACUACACUGCUUAACCAAGAGACACAUAAGAUACCUAUCACAGUUGAUUAUUGAUAACGCUCAAUCUACAGCUCUCGUGGGAGUGUAAAGCGGUCGUUAGCAAAUAUAGAACCCAACCUGGGUUGGGUAUCGAUCCCACAGAGAAUAGCUUGGCCAACAAGCAAGAGAAAUUACUAGACUUUUAGUGCAAGUCUCGUAGGAAAGGGGGGAUUGUAGUAUGUAACCAAAACAAGAAUGUAAGAACUGAAAAUAGCAAAAUAAAGAGAGAUUGUCACGUGUGUUGUAAACAAUGAGAAUUGAGGCGUUGGGGUUAUGUCCACCUUCUGAGGUAUACGUCUCUAUUGGCUAUGAGUGUGUAGAGUCUUGACAUGUAAUUGCUUAUAGAGAAUUGUAGUCGAUGGUAAAUCCAAGCGUCUCUCGACCUAAACAAGGACUAUUUCACUUUAACUCUCUCGAGCUUAAAGCGUGACUAACGGUACGAAUUCUCCAAGAAGUUAGUCCAGGUACGGCACUAGCUUUUUAAUAGGAAAGGGUGUCCUACUACCUUGACAUUAUCUCUUUUCCAGACAAAUAACUUUUCUCUCGAACAAGUCAGAUGUUAGACUGGCGUUGGUCUAUGCGUCUUCUUUUCUAGACAAAUAACCUUUCUCUCGAACAGGUUAGAUGUUAGAAUGGCGUGUUCUUGUGUUUGAACCGCAAAGAAUGUAGAUUUAAGAUGAAGAGAAUAAUGAUAUAAGCAAUAUACUUGUCUUGAACUCACAAACUCAUAGCUAUAGAUAGUAACUCAUUCGGCUUCCAUAACCCCAACUAAGAGAUUUAGUUACCCAUGAAUGCGAAGGAUAUCACGCUUUGCAUGGUGGAUGGCGUGAAUAGUAGGUGUUUGGCGUGUGGUUUUAGUGAUUCCGUAGCAAGUAACGAUUCUCUUGUUGUGGAAUUUAAGAGUAGAAGAAUGAAGAAUUGAGAAUGGGUUGUAGGAAGAUGUCUUAAUUGUAAGGAGAUGAAUGAAUUGUCAGAAUGUCUCCCUUCUUGAAAAUCUCUAACAUGAUAGGGUAUUUAUAAUACUCCUAUCCUACUCCUACUAAACUAAUAAAAUAAAUAACCAAAUCCUAAUAUACUAAUGAAAUCCUUGACCCAAUUGUACUAGGGUAAGGUUACAAAAUUAUAAUCCAAAUAGAAUGAUGAAACACAUAACCUAAUUGCACUAGGUUAAUGUAUUAUGGCAAAAAUCCAGCUUUGUGUCUGUAAGUCCCAAAGUCUUCAGAAAUGCUGUUUUAGCCCGGGACAGAUUUUCCAUGCAGCAGAUUUAGUCCUUUAUGCGUCCAGCUCCUUUCCAUCUCGUUUGUGAGCUUUCUUUUGCGUCAAGUAAGCCAUAAAUUGCUGUAUUUUGCAUCAUUUAUACCUGAAACUUUCCUAAUCACAUUUGUUAGCUCAUUUACAGGAAAAAGGACUAAAAGUGUACGAAAUAGAUAAUUAGUUCUCGAAACUAGGCUAAAAUAUGGGCAAAAUAUAUUGAUAUAGGCGCGUAAUUUCGCCUAUCAUCAAUUAUCAAGUUUAGCUCAAAACUCAUGCCACUCUCCAUGUUCAAUACUUAUAAAUCCAAUUGUGCAUAUCAAUGAAGAUUAACAAUGUGACCCAAAGGAAUCCAAAUAUGACAUUAAUUCAACAACAAUAACCAUACAUAUGUACAAGUUACACUACCCAAACAAGUAAAUAGCUAGCAAUGCAACCGAUGUGCCCUUACAACAAAUAAGUCCCUCCUCACUCAUAUAUGAACUCAAGCAUGUCAAUAUGGUGACAGUCAAGAGACAUUCACUCUCAGAAAGAAAUUUCAAUCAAUGCAUGUCAAAUACCAUAUGCUUGCCCUUAUUUUCAUUACCAAGGUGUCUAGACAGGUAAGUUAGGAUCACUAUAGGUCUUUUAUUCAGCUUGUAAUGUAGGCUAAGGGCUGGUAUGAUAUUCAAUGGCAUUUAGAGUGACUAAGCCUACUUAGAACUACCUUAACUUUUGGAGUUCACUUAUUAACCUUUUUCUUUUUUUUCUCCUUUUCUUAAUCACACAUUAUUCAGGAUGGAUGUGGCUUUUCUUUUUCAUUCUUUUUCUUUUCUUAUUCUUCUUCCACGCCACCCAGCUUUUUAUUCUUUGUCACUUAUUCUUUUCUUUCUAUUCUACCUUUCUUCAUACUCUGUUUAUAUCACACACCCUAUGGUAGCUACCCUCAACUUAGGAUGUUUACCUAAAUCUAGGUACACAGUAUCCAAGGAGGACUAGGGCCAAAACAGGUUCAUUAUAAUCUAAACAGAAGGUGAUAGGUGUCAUAGAAAGAAAUAGUCAAUUCAUGCUCAAAAUAGGGAUCAAGAGAUAUCAUGCAUACUGGGAAGGUCAUUUAGGCAAAAAGUGACUUAAAAAUCAAAACGGCCUAUGAUCCUUUCCUAACCCCUAUCUUUCAACCAAGUUAAGACUAACCGGGCAAGUUCUGGAUUUAACACACAAAGGGAACUAAGUAGUAUCUCACACACACAUGGCACAAAGGUGCAUCACAAGAUAAUACCUAUCCAGUUCAUGGGAUUGUUUAGCAGUGGAUAUCAUGUCACUAGUACUAAUGCCAUAACAAGAUGCACAGUGAUCAAACAUAAAUGUAUAUCACACAAUUAUAAAACAGACCAACGGAGAGGUGUUUAUCAGUCUCAAAAAUCAAGAAAAAUAUGUCAACUGCUCUAGAUACUUAUUUUUCUCCAGUUAACAAUAACACAUCACAAAAUAAACAUAGUAUACCUAAACAUGCCUGCUCUACUACGAACAAGACUCUGGGGAAAAGAGGCACGGCAAAAAAACCCACAGGAGGACAUCAACACCCACAAGUAGCCCCACUGUCAACUUAAUAUCAUGCAUUGGUCCCAACACGUAUAAUCAAAAAAAGAGAUUUAGAACCAUACCUGUGGCACCAUGGGUGAGAAGAUCUGAUUUCAACCACAUAAUACGAAUACAAACAACAAAAUAUCUUGGGUUGCCUCCCAAGCAGCGCCUGGUUUAACGUCGUGGCUCGACUCAGUUAUCUUGACUACUCAGACUUCGUCAAGAUAUCUUGUUGAUAAUUAUUUAUAUCUCCACUUGGAGGAUUUAAAAUGCCGGCCUAACUUUUGAUCAAUACAUCUUUGGGGUAAGUUGGGAAAAUGUGAGGGCAUGAUGAGGAAUAUUCUAUCACGCCACUUCAAAGACUUGAAAUGCUUGCCCAAUUUUACAUCAAACUUUCGUGUGGUAUCAUUUGGCAAUGGUGAGAAUCUUAAACAUCCACAAAAUGGACAUCUAUCUUUAAGCUCCUUGUCCUUCAAUAUUGGGGUUGUAGUAUACCCUUUUGGAAGGACAAACUCCAAAAUGUAAGAAUCUUCCUCCUCAUUUUCAAAAUUCAUCAUUUGCUUGGGUGAUUCGACUUUCAUUACAUCCACUAAGUAUAAUGUUGAAAAGUGAUUCGAAUGAGGACUAUCCCUCAAUUUUGGAAUAACUUCCCUAUUAGUAUUUUUAUCCCGAAAUGGACUAGAGUCUUCACGAAGGUUGUGCUUAAUUUCUUCUUUUGACUCUAAUUCCAUUUCCUCAUCCUUGGCAUCUUCAUUAAUGAAUGGUUCGGUUGGUUGGGAAAUCACUAAGGGUUGCUCAACAUAAAGCUCAUCAUCAACAUCAUAUUCUUGCUCUUCAUUCUCACACUCUUCCAUUAUUUUAAACGAUUCCACAAAUAAGAUAUCAUCUAAACAUAGUGUAAAAGAGGGCUUUGGAUGAUUGACCUCUAUAUCCAUCUCCUCGUGAAUGAUUGGCCUUAUAUCUUGAUGCAUAUCACAUACGAUAUCAUAUGUUGUUUUUUUGGAGAUCUAACAUUCUUUGCAUCUUUGGAGGUGCUCCAAGAAUCAUCAUCAUCAAUGCAUACUCCAACGGGGUUACCACCUAAAUCCCCGUCUCAUCACUAUCCUCAUUUGAAGUAAGGACAGUCAUCCCUUCUAACUCUUUUUUCAAGCCAUCGAGGACGUUAUUCUUCACUUAGUCCGUAUAUGUCUAAAACAUAAUCAUGUAAUCCAUGUUCAUUUCUCAAACAGUAGGGAUGAUGUGCGGGUGCACAUUCUACAAAAUAUCAAUUAAUAUUUACAUAACAUUGAAUACAAUGGUAGUAUUAUUGCAUGAUACAAACUAACUUCAUACCUCAGUAAGUUUUCCUUUAUACUUGAAUGGGCCGCCUUUGAUUAUCUUAUCAUGUUUUGUAAUGUGCCAUCUGAGGAUGCGGGGAAUGGAAAAGGCUCAUCCAUUGAUUUUUCAGUAAAUUCUCCAAGAAGAAGAAAGGCCUCAUAGAUCCAAAUUUGUAAGCAAUACAACAGUGAAAAAAGAACUCAGAGUCUAUGACAGUAUAAAUAAAAUGAGAAUUGACGAUAAACUCAUUAAAGGGUUUAUGGUAGAAAUCAUGAAUGCCAAGGAAAAUCUGAAUAGAGCAUAAGAUGCCUUCUAUUUCUCAUUAAAUACUUCCCUCUUCUUCUUCUGGUCACUUUUCUUCUUCAGAGAGUCCAUGGUCAGUUGAAAUGUCUCUUUCCCCCACAGAUACUUCUCGAAGAAAAUCAAAAAAUCGAUCAUUCGAAUCAGUUUUGUGUCGACAACCUUCGUCGAAUCUUUUACAAGAAACAUGGUG
RNAcentral lists this long non-coding RNA (56030 nucleotides) under Capsicum annuum. RNAcentral's name for it is "long non-coding RNA (CANN_LNC004224)". Lineage: Eukaryota; Viridiplantae; Streptophyta; Magnoliopsida; Solanales; Solanaceae. The record is from RNAcentral.